GAACCUUUCCCUGAGUGCCUGCCUAGCACUGCUCUCGAGUACUCGUCUUCCACUGCUGCUGUACUUUCAAAGAAGCUACCAUAUCUGCCUGGAGAACAGAUAAGGCAAGUGAAAAUGAUACCUUGCAGCAUGUGGAGACAAGGUGCAGAAGGAACAAGCAGAGAAGAAUGCGUUCUGCACAGUCAACUCAGCAGAAGAAGUCCGAGCUGAAGAACUCGAGAAGCUGCCACAUCUGCCUGAAGAAACAAGCAGAGAAGAAUGCAGCAUGCACAGUCAACUCAGCAGAAAGAGUCUGAGAUAAAGAACUUAAGAAGAUGCCACAUCUGCCUGAGGAACAGAUAAAGCAAGGGAAAAUAAUACAUUGAAGCAUGUGGAGACAAGCACAACAAAGCACGUGCCGAUUCAUCCGCUGCUUCUUCAAAAUCAAAAGUAUCUCAUAUCAUCAGGGUUGCAAUCACUCUGGACGGUGAACUCGUUUUGACCCUGAAAUUCUUGGGUCGACUUACUAGGUGUUGUGGGAUGCACGUGCCGAUUCACCACCCUUGAAUCGAAUCCUUAAAGAUCAAGUCACCAACUGGAAGAAAGCCCCAUCAAUCUUGAAGAUCAUACCGUUGACCAAACUGCUCAGGUGUGAAUUAGAAAGAUUGAACAAAGAAACAGGUUGUCACCUUUACCUCGUGCCUGCUUGCCAUGUGUUCGAGUCAACCUUUAAGAAUCAAGCCUCAACGGCCCUUGAAGAAGUUUCCAACCAAAUUCAAGAUCAAGCCUCGACGGCCCUUGAGGAAAUCACAAGUCCAAUUCAAGAUUAAGUGUCUACCACCAUUGAAUCAAAACCUAGUUCAAGAAUAAGUUGUGGAAAAUCAACAAUUGGAGGAAUCCAGAAAAUCCUCCAACCCAGUUCAAGAUCAAAGCUGUGGAAAGUCAACAAGCGCAACAAAAUAUGUGCCGAUUCACCCACUACCAAAGCCAAAGAUCAUCUACCACAUGAAGCUCCUUGUGGUCCAAUUUCAACCUUCAAGAUCAAGCCUCGACAGCCCUUGAAGAAAUUUCAAACAAAAGUUCAAGAACAAGCCUUAACGGCCCUUGAAGAAAUCUCAAGCCCAAUUCAAGAUCAAGCUUCAAUGGCCCUUGAAGAAAUCUCCAGCCUAAUUCAAGAUCAAGCCUCGACGGCCCUUGGAUUGACAUCUACAGUAAAGGACUUCAAAACGCAUCUCCUACACGUGACAAGCACAUGUAUACGACGCGCCUUGAAGUGGGGGCAUUUGUAGACAUCGAAAUUUCGGUAAAUAAAUGUUGACCGAUAAAUCAAAGUGUCAACGCUCAUGUAUUACAUAAAUUUUACACGUAGCGUGUGACUCAACGAAAAUUGAAAUGAGUUGGAAAAGUCAUCAAAUAGGACACGUGUCAACACCUGGCAGAAACGACUUAUUUCAUCUGGGAUAUUAUAUUCAAAAUUAGGCCUUGGAAAAUUCUAUAAAUACAAGCCCAUUUCAUUCAUUUGAGGGGGAACCAAAAUCAUUAGGCAAAAUUCUUAAAGCUCUGAAGUUCUGAAACUCUAAAACUCCGAAGCUCUCAAGCAUCCAGGUUCCCGAAGAAUCAAGAAAUCUCUCUUCGUUCUUCGUUCAUCGUUCUUCGUUCAUCGUUCUUCCAAGAUCAAGCCCCAACGGCCCUUUGGAUCAACAAUCAUCCACCACUUCAAGAUCAAGCCCCAACGGCCCUUGAAGAAAGUGUUCUUCGUUCUUCGUUCUUCGUUCAUCGUUCUUCCAAGAUCAAGCCCCAACGGCCCUUGAAGAACUUCCACCAAUUCAAGAUCAAGCCCCGACAGCCCUUGAAGAAAGUAUUCAUCGUUCAUCAUCCGUUCAUCCAAGAUCAAGCCCCAACAGCCCUUUGGAUCAACAAACGUCGACAAAUCCACACAUCCAACCGUUCUUCAAGAUUAAGCCCAAAAGCCCUUGAAGAUCCGUUCAUCACUGUUCUUCAAGAUCAAGCCCAAAAGCCCUUGAAGACCCGUUCAUCAUCGUUAUUCAAGAUCAAGCAUUAACGGCCCUUGAAGAAAUACUCAUCAAACCCCAACGGCUUAUUGAAGAUCCGCUCAAAUCCACCUUCAAAGAUCAAGCCCACGGCCCCUUGAAAGAAACUUCCAAUAGUUCAUCCAAGAUCAAGCCUCGACAGCCCUUGGAUCAACGAAACAUCCACAAAUCAACGCCUUACGGAGAUCGAAUCAGAGGAUCAAAAUUGAGAGAGAUUGUAACCCAAAAUCAUCAAAUACAUAAUAUUUGUUUGUGCACGUUGUUCUUGUCUCUUUCGUUUCAGGAAUUUUCCGUGUUUACAGUCAUUUACGCUUUAUUCUUCUUACUGAAUUUCAUUUUUAAAAUUUUAUUUUUUGAAAACAUGAUCAUCUGGCGGAUGUAAGAAGAUGAUAUCAUGUUUCUAUAUUUACGGUUAACUGAAAUAUGAGUCAAUGUCAUAUAAUUUGUAGAAACUUUAUAAACAUCAAGCAAUAUUUUCACUAACCGUAAAACUCUAAAUAUAAUAUCAACGAUCCAAACCGUUCAUCUACCUACACCCUCUAAUAGAUCAUGUUUUCAAAAAUGAAAAUCUAAAAAAACGAAAUUUGAUAAGAACAAUGAAGCAUAAAUGUAAACAACAAUCAACGGUUAAAUUUUGAUCUAUGAAUUAUAUGAUUAUAGUAGCGAAUUUCGAAGUUAAGCUCUUCAUAAAAGUUAUAAAGCUUAUCAUUAAGAGUGUUUAUAUAUUUUUUUCUAUAUUUUUUUACACUUCUACAUUAAUUAAAAAACUAUUAAAGACUUUAGGUAAGCGAAAAUAUACUUCAAACAAAAUUGUGUUUUUAUGUUUUGGAUGUGAUAAUAUGGAAUGUAUAUACUUAUUUAGUAUUAUGUUUUUCAUUUGAUUAUUUAUUGGUUUAAAAUAUAUUUUUCUUAACGGGUAACGGGUCAGGUCAUAUUACCUGUUAAUAUUAUCGGGUCGAUUUCGGGUCGGGUCAUUUUACCCGUUUAUUUUAACGGGUGUUACACGACACGACCCGUUAAGAUAUCAGAUAUGACACGAAAACGACACGAACACGGAAAACACGAUACGAAUGCCAAGUCUAAUAUAUAUAUAUAUAUGUAUAUGUAUAUGCUUAUAUCUUAAUUAUGGGAAAAUUUUACAUGUUUUACAGCAAGGGGUUAGUAUGUUGAUAAAUGAAAUGGUUUUGUAAAACAUUUGUUUUUGCCCACUCACGUUUUCUAUUUUGCGCCCCUUUAGGUUUUAAGUAAGCUUGUUGUUGGUGGCUUGAGGAUGUUGGCAGUUCUGACUUAUCUAAAUAAUAGUAGGACAUUUCUGGUACUGUAUAACUAGUACUUGUCCUACUGGACUACACCUAAACUUUAUGCUCUGAUUAGGAGUGUUCACUGUUGUAACUAACACUAUCACUUUCUGUUUAGUAGUACACUCUAGUAAUUUGGUUUUUAAUUAUUCGUAUAUUUCUUAUCUUUAUUGCUUCAGCACUACGCACAUGGCUACGUCACUCUCACGUGACGUCCAGCAUGCCUUGAUCUCGGUCGGGGUGUGUCAGUGAAUGUUCAUGCUAUCAGGGUUGCAAAAAUAUCAAGAUAAAAACCUUUGUUUUGGAAGAACCUGAUUACGUGAUGAUAUAGAUGAACUGGUUUGUUGCAAAAAAAGCUUCAUUGUUAGAUUCUUAAGUGCAGCAGUAAGAGCGUGUUGUAGCUUAUUUUAUCUCACUACAGGGUAUGGGCAAUGGCAGGGAGAGACGUGUUUGUAGAAUCAUAGGGGAAUGUGUGUUGAGAAUGUGUUAUCUCCCUACGCAGUGCUUUUAUUUAUAGUAAUAAGAGGAAGAAUAAUUCCUUCAUCCCUAAGUAAUACAAAUCCAUAUAGGAAAGAAUAACUAAAAUAAAAUCUAAUCUAGGAUUUACACAAUCACACUUAAAUUAGGAAAGUUUAUAACACCAUCUAAAUUCUAAUAAUUAAUUAUACUUUUUUUUUAAACUAAUUAAAAGGGUUUGAAAAUUUUGAGUUUUAACGAUAUAAAGUGAAUAGUACCAAGAUUAAUUUUUUAGUGUAAAAAUGUGGUUUUUCGUUAAAGUGAACAGUACUAGAAACUUUUCUUUAAAGUUCCUUUUUUUUUUUUUUUUGAUUUUUUUGAUUGGAAAAAUAAAAAAAAUAAAAAAGGUGGAGGAGGGUGCAUCAUGCAGUGGCACGUGACUUCACACGAACGUCUUCCAGGAACUCAGGAAUUAAGCAUACAGACAAUCGCCGAAAGGUCUUCAAUUUGGGGUCACAUGAGUUAACUACGUCCGUCCGAUCAACAUACUUUUCUUGUUCCAACAAUCCAGCCGUAAAUAAUUAAACGCCACCAUAGCAUCGUACACCUGAAGCAACACCGUAAUAUAUCUCCUCUUGGCGAGCCGGAAGAGCAAGUGUCUUUGUUCUUCGCUGGAAAUAUUUUUCUAUUCAUUUUCUUUUCCGAAUUCCGAUUAUCCAAACGGGAGCGAGGAAGAAGAAUCCGUCGGACAAAAUCUCACUGACCGGAGCAUCCAAUCCAAAUGGCGGUUUCCGUGACGGCGUCCACGAUUCCUUCUCUCAGCUCUGACCGUACGACUCGCUUAGCUGCGGCGGCGGCCUCAUCCUCCUCCUCUUCUUCUUGUUCAAAGCUGUCUUCCUCUACUUCUCUGCGAUUUCCGGCGCAGCUUCGACGUGUUCGGAUCGGAACUCAGGACUCACGGCCUCGGCUUCUUCCUCCGGUAAUGAAUUUUCCGUUUUUGUAGUUUCGUAGUCUGUUUGUUUCCCGAGAAAAUCGAGGAAUUUAACCUGAUGAAAUUGUGUAGCGUUAAAAUUCCUGUUCUAAAAUUUCUGUGUUUUGUAGUGGAAGAGAUUGCAAAAUUUAAAUUUAGGAAGCAAAGCAUACAACUGCAAAUCUUGUUGUUAUCAUAUUUAUGGCCCAAACACCAAUUGCUUUGUAUUUCUUUGGUCCUUGCCGUUUCCUAUGAGUUGUGAGAAAAUCACAUGGGUCGGUUUUCGGAGUUUCCAAAUUUUAGUCUUUUCAAGAGAAUAAAGACAUUUAAUCGAAAAGUGCAGGAAAAGUAAACUCAGAGGAUGGUUUGCAAGACAUAGAUUUAGCAUGCUACAGGAGGCAUGUGGAAUAUAGAGCUUAAGGACAUGGAACUCACUAUUGAUUGUCUUUGAAAUGGUUUUGUACUUGAUUUUGGCGCACGCAGUUGAUUUUUUAGACUAUCGGUAAACUAAUUUGGAAUCAAACCUCUCUCAAACAAUUAGAAUGCACAAUGUCACCGAUAUAGGAUAUUAGGUUGCAUCAGUUUGAUCUUCCCCCAUUUUCCAGGUAAAGUACCUUUUCAUGAUAACCGUUUGGGGCAUAAAGUUGGGAAGGGACAACCUAGAACCAAAAUUAUUGAAUGGGAUGAAAGGUGUAGAUUGUAAAACUUGGAUAGUAUAUCUUGUAACGAUUUGAAUGAUAGAGACAGUGAGCAAAUCCAUAUUCGGGGCCUUCAUGCAUGGACUCGAGUGUUCUUUAAUCAUCUAAUCAGAAGCCGAUUGUUUAUACCAGUCAAUCGACGGUCCUCCUAUCACUACUGGCUUUGCCUCAAGUUACAAGUGAAGUUUCAAUUCAGGAUGAUGACCUAUCAUGUUGAAGAUCAACACCAGCCCAAUUGGUGUUUGGAUUCUAGAAGAUUCUAGCAGCAAGUCUAGAGGGCAGAGCUUCCUGAAGACUUGCACUUUGUCCAGGUGCAAUGGAACUAGAUUUUUCUAUAGAAUUAUCUAAAGCUAAGUAGUCUUUUGUAGAAAGGAUUAGAAGGAUGUUUCUUAUGUCGGUGGAAGGCUGUGUGCAUGAUCAAUGCACUAGAAAGUUCUAGUGAUAGUAUAAGUCGGCAAACAUGCCUUAUAAAUAUGUAUGUAUGAGUGUUGUAAUGUAACCAAGAAGAAGUAAGAGAGCAAACCAAGAGAGAGCUAAGUAAGAGAGUGAGAAGCCUUGUAAGUGAGUAGUCUUGUAAAGAGUGUGAGUGGUCUAGAGUUUGUCUCUAGAAGUGAGAGAGUGUCAUACGUUCUAAAUUGUGUCCUUGAUAGUUGUUGUGUUGUAAUAUUCUGUGAGUUAAUACAAGUAAUUUGUUUACUUGUUUUGUCUCUCCAACACUUGUGUUAGAGCUGUGUAUUCUAGUUUUUCCUCAACAUAUCACUUAGGUGGUUAUCCAUAUGGACCAUGUUGUGACAGUUUCAAUAGCUGCGUGUACUCUUUCUUUGCUGUCUUUGGAAUAUUUAGCCUGUAUAGCUGAAUUACGAAGUGUGACUGAAUUGGUGAUUCAGUAAUUACAUGUAUAUGUGGAAAAAAAAUUACUUUUCGUAGGUUGAAGCAAAGAAGCAAACAUUUUCAUCCUUCCAAGAUUUGCUGGCUACCUCUGAAAAACCUGUGUUGGUUGACUUCUAUGCAACCUGGUAAGCUUUUCUUGUGUAUCUCACUUCUUAUUUUGUUUGCAAUUUGUCAUUAUUGUUGUAUUGUCAGCUAAACUUUAAUUCCUAAACAAGGUGGUAGCUAUUCACCUUUUAGGUUUUCCCUCUCUAUAUAAAGGUAAGAAUAGACAAUUAAGUAAUAAACUCUGGUUGACAGGUGUGGACCUUGUCAAUUUAUGGCACCCAUCCUCAAUGAAGUCAGUAUUACGCUGAAUGACAAGAUCCAGGUUGUGAAAAUUGACACAGAGAAGUAUCCUAGCAUUGCUGAUAAAUAUAACAUACAAGCAUUGCCUACUUUCAUCAUAUUUAAGGAUGGAGAGCCAUUUGACCGCUUUGUAAGUUGAAUUUGUUCUCUUUUUUCCUUUGGGAGAUUAAUAUGUUUGCCUUUGGUAGACGAUCAAAUGUCUAGAAAUGUGUAAUCUGUCACAUAACAUCUCAUACUGAUUGCAUGCUUUUUAUACGGCCAGAAUAUGGACGGGUAUUGUCAAGUUGUUACGAUUUGCUGUUAAUUCCACUUUUUAGAUUUUGUAAGAUAUCCUAUGCACUUGCAUUGGUUUACAAUUUCGUCAGGUGUGUUGCUUUGCAUGCUUUUCUUCUUCUUUUGCUUAGUUUUGAUUCGAAGAUGUUGAAUUUUAAGGAUUUAUGUUCUCUUAGAUCCAAAAUAUUAAAUAGAAUAAAUAAUGUAUGUUCUCCGUGCAUGUAUGCAAGGCACUGUUAGAUUAGUUUUGGCGGUUUUUCUUUUUGGUUUUUUGGUCGAUUUUAAAUAUCUAUGAUGACUUUGCUUUCAUUACUUGCAGGAGGGUGCUAUGACUGCUGAUCAGCUUGUCGAACGAAUAGAAACUACUUUGAAAGUUAAGUAGGAGACAGGUGAGCUCUAUAAUAUUCGUGAGUUGAGAGCACUCGUAUCGUCCGCUGUUCUUUCUCUGCUUCCUCCUCCCCAUUUCCUAACCUUUCCUUUUUCUUCACUCUUCAUUUAUUGGUCCAGCUUCUCAGGUUGAACCGAGAAGCUGAUCGAUUCAGCCGCAUUGCAAGAAAAAUGGAUUUUAUGAAGAAAGGCACUGGAUGUUUCCUCUGCUUUUUUAUUUUUUGUAUGUAACUGGUUUGUACCAACAAAAAAGUUACGAGACUUGGCGUAAUCGCACGGGUAAAGCUUAGUGAAAACAAUUUUACGAUGUCAGUUUCUGUUGUGAUAUACACAUCCACAUCAGUUGCAUUUGAUUGAAAUUCAUGAUUUGGAAAAGUUAAUGAAAUUUUGUGGACAUUCAUUUCAUUUGCAAUGCAACUUAGACCUUAUUGGCAAUUGGUUUGUGGACACAAGAUUUACUACUUAAUUUGGAUACCUUGUCAAAUUAGAGUCAAUAAUUAACAAUGGCAUAUCUAGUAAGAAGUUAUUUCUGCAUGCCUCCCUUCCCAUUUCCUACGGCUGUUUAGCUUGCAAGCACACAAAUCAUUUGUAAUAAAGAUAUGCAAAUACGAGAUCAAAUUCAUCGAGAUUGAAUGAACAAUAAUUUGGUAUCUUAUGUUUAGCUGCGGACAUGACUGACCUCAGGAGGUCUCAAUGGAAAAAAUUUCAGAAAAAAUGUAGACAAAAGUAACAUUGAGGAAUUAAAUGAUAAUUCUUUUCAUUCGUAAAUAAUAGUGUAAACAAUGUUAUUACAAUCUACAAAGUCCAAAAUUAUCAUCGACGAGUUUUCAUAUUUUGAAAAUGUUUAUGAUAGUUUCAUACUCAACGAUCAAUCCACAACUCUAAUAACUGAAAUUUGAGAAUAAUGAGUACAAAUAGUGAACUUGAUACACUAGGAAGCUUAAGGAGGUCCCAGAAAGUCCAUAUUCGGGGCCUUCAUGCAUGGACUCGAGUGUUUCUUAAUCAUCUAAUCAGAAGCCGAUUGUUUAUACCAGUCAAUCGACGUCCCAGAAAGUCCGCUCUUCUGCUUCGACGUUGCUGAACCCGCUCUACCAUGGAGACGGCUCCCUCCUCGUCUUCCUACCCAUGGCACGGGUUUAGUCCUCCUUGAUGGUCAGCUAAUGUUCACCUAAGCUUUCGCACUUAGUAAACAAGCCUUCACUAGUUGCCUGGAACAUAACUACUAUUACUAUGAUGAUUAUUACGCCGACCACCACGGCGUUUAUAAUGCUUCUGGUUCUAAUUGGGGUGUAGUAGCCUGUCAACUGUCCAGUACCGAUUCCGAUGACUUCGGAACUUGGAUUAAGCCCAUCCAAAUUCUGGAGCCAAGGUUGCCGAGUGAAUUUUGGGGGCGAUGCACACUUAUAGCUUUGCUCAUCUAGGAGGUUCAAAAGUAUGCUUUGUUCUUUCCAAUCCCAUCUCGCACCCAAAAAAAAUUUGUCUUUGGAAGGUGCGUCUUCUUGUUCAAACUUUUGAGUUUUCCUUCUCCAAACAAAGUACCACCCUCACUAGUGCUGCUUUAUUUUAUUGUUUUUUAUUUUUUGUUUUUUUUGGAAAACCUUAAUGGUAUAAGGGUAAUUUUAUUGAUAACAAAAAAAUAAGUUACACCUAGACAGAAGGGGACAUAAACCUUACCCCUCAUAAAACAGAGACAAUAAAUAGGAAUACACGAAAAAGAAGGGGGAACAUAAACCUUACCCUUCUAGAAAUAAAAAACGAGAAUGAUACAAAGAAAAGAGGGGGGGGACAUGAAACAUAAUCCCUCUAAAACCAAACCUAAAGGUCUAAACUUGCAAAACAAGUCAAACAACCCCAUAAAGUUAGGAGAAAAAAAAAAGUGAGACAAACCUGGAUGCCGACAUGCACAUUAAUUUGAGAAGCAAUAACCAGGCAAGCCAACAUAGUCUGAAAACAAAGCAGCACAAACCGCCAUCGGAGGAGAAUCAUGCCAAGUUAAAGAUGGAGAAGACAAUCCCAUGUUAGCAAAAUUGUCUGCAACAAGAUUUACUUCACGAUGUACAUGAGAUACAUAGAAAGUCAUUUUCCGAAUACGAUCUAAACAAAUAGACCAUUGCGUAUGAAGAGGCCAAGGAGGAUCAAAAUUAGACGAUUGAAGAGCAUAAAUAACACUAGAACUAUUACUUUCAAACCAAAGACAAUGCCAACCCUAUUGAUAUGCAAACUCAAUACUAAUAAUAAUUGCUAAUAACUCUGCAAAAAAAAAAAAAAAAGUUGCGAUGACCAAUGCAUUGACAGAAACCUCCAAGAAAACAACCAUGACAAUUCCUGAAAAAUCCUCCACAUGUAGCAGGAUCAGAAUUUCCUUUAGACAAACCAUCUGUAUUAAGCUUAAACCAAGGAAACCAAAGGACAGGAAGAAUAGUAGGUGCCUUGCGAGGGAUAGGUUGGAUCCCCAAAGAAGAAAUGAUCCGAGUGUCAAAACCUUGAGAAUAACCAGAAAUAAACUUCCCACCAUGAACAAUCGCCGAAUUGAUAGAAAUGCAAAAGACGAUGAAAAUAGAUUGGACGACCCUAAAAAAUAAAUUUAUUUUGAGCCUUCUAAAUAGCUGAAAUAGUAGAAAGACCCGCAAAAAUCCAUAGAUUGUGCAACUGUUUGGAAAAUGGCUUACAGACAUAGACAUCCCAAAAAACAACCAAAGAAUCUGAAAGAGGCAAAAAUGUACCAAAUUAACAUACUAACCACCUCCAAAGUUGCCUAGAUAUCUGACAUCCAAUGCUGCCGAUGAUGGUGAUGAUUAUAAUUAUAAUGAUGGAGGCUGCGAUUCAAAAAGAUCAUUCGAUUUCUCCUCUUUCAAAGCCGACAUCCUCUCCACUCGCAACUUUGAAUACGAUUGGUGCGGAGAAUCUUUUGAGACUGCUCACGCAGCCGUGCUUGGUUGCUUUGCCCUGUAAGUUUCGUCGGUAAGGUUAACUUUCCAAUUCUAUCCCAUUUUCUGUAUUUGCUUUCUCCUGCGUGCGGCCUUAACUUGUAACUGUACUACGUAGGAAAGCAUUAGUCAAUGUAUUUCCUGUGCACACACUAUCACUUGAGGAACAAGUUCGACUGCAUUGUUUGCGAUUUAAGUCAAUCUAGACCCUGCAUUGCAACUCGCAUUGGGUCUUACUGGAACUACUUACAGCGAGCAUGCAAAACCCCCUGCGUGUUGAUUGAGGUUCUGAGGGGGAACACUCCAUCAAGCACGUUGAAGAUAUGGUCUGUAGCAGCAUUGCUUGGAAAUUGGAAAUUGGAGAUCUGCCUAGCUAGCUACUAUUUCUGUGUCUAGCUCCUCAUGUAGUUUUCUGUUAGGUAAUUUUUUUUUUUUUUUAAAUGGAAGAACAGGCAUUUUAUUAAAUAAAAAAAAAUAUUUAGUCAUAUUUUUAGGCUUAUUAUAUUUAUACCCUACAUAUUGUUGAAUAAACCUUAUAUACUUAAUACACCUCAUAUUUACUUUUUCAAUUAAAAUUUAUCUUAAUACACCCCAUUUACUUUCCCAUAUUACCCUCCCACCCCCAUUCUCAACAUACACCUUACAUUUUCUAUAUACACCCCAAAUUUUUUAUAACUCAGUCACAAUCAAGAUUGGAGGAAGAUAAGGCUGCUGAGACUUUGUUGAAGGUGGCAGACGAGGUUAUACGCUGAGGUUUAAUGACAAAAAUUCGAGGGUAAAAGCAGCAAGGGAAAGGAGAACAAUUAGAGGGUCUCUUGUAAUGUGAAUGGCACUAGGACUUUGCCCAGAUUGGCAAAAACGUAGCUGAAUGUUGAUGUAGUUUUAUUGCAUUUUCAGAUGUAUGAAAAAAAAAAACAUAUUUAUUUAUUGGUGUUGAAUUGCAGAACAAAGAUUGUGUUUAGCCAUUUUAUUACUAUUAUCAUUUCUUUAAAUUGGGGUUAUGCCGUGAGAUGAUAUACAUAAGGAAAUAUUGUUAAUUUCUUCGCACUCCAUUCAAGUUCUAACCUUGUAGUUUCAUCAUUUUGCUUGCCUUUGCUGGGAAGACAAAAAAAAUAGAUAAAUAAUACGUUAAAAGUGAUUUGAGGUUUAUUCAGAAUUUUUUUAUAUUUUUAAAAAACUAAUAAGGUCAAAAUUGACAUUGUAUAGAGUGUAUAAGUUAUUUAAUAUCGAAUUUGAAUGUGAGGUGUAUUUAUCAGUACGGAUGUGUACAUCUUUUAUUGGCACGGAAGUACUUAUCGAUUAUGCAUUGAAUUUUUUAGUAAUUUAAUUCAAAAUGUGAAGUAGCUUUUGUAAAGUUACCGAAAGCGCCGUGACGGAGAUGAAGAUGGAAAUGGUGUAAAACUUUUGACGAGUUGAACCGAAAGCGCCGUGACGGAGAUGGAGGUGGAGAUGGAGAUGAGGGCCGGGGAAGAAAUAGAGAUAGGACAAGACAUAACGCCACCGCUCCCUCCGCUUUCUUCCUCUCUCCACCACUCCCUCCUCUCAUCUCACUGCUCUUCCUGCUUCUCCCCUCUCCCUCCCCAACCCUUCCCUCCCCUCUUUACUCCUACCUUUCCCAACACUCCCUCCUCCUACUACUGCUCCUCCCUCUGCUCCUCCGCCGAUUCUCCCCUCCACGUCUCCAGCGCCGAGCCCUACCUUCUCCUGCUUCUCCAAUCCCACCCCUCCGCCUACCCCAACGGCGACUCCUCCGACCUCCGCGCCGCCCUCCGCCUCCUCCAAUCCCUUCCCGCCACCUCCCCCUACCCUCGCGUAGCCGGCCUCCUGACGAAUCGCCACAAACUCCUCCACCACCACGACCAUAGGGUUCGCGACGGCGCCAGAGCCAUGUUCCUCGCCAGGAAGAUGCGGGAUGAAUCUCCGAAUUUCUCUAUCGAUGCGACUAUUGCCAACGUUGCUCCGCACGACGCCGUAUUGGAGGAGGCCGUGCUGUCAUUGGUGCUAACGAACGCCGUGGAGGUGCAGGAUAAGACCGGGCGCACCCUUGGAAUUUCCGUCUACGGUCCCAGCUUCUGCUGGAUCAACCACAGCUGCUCCCCGAAUGCUUGCUACCGCUUUUCUUUGAUGACACCGCCAACGCCACCUUGUUGGCCCGAAACGGCGCUGCUGCGCAUUGUCCCCUUCGGCCGCUCCUCCGGUCGUGCCACACAAGUAAUCCCUGCAAAUUUGCACCGUUUGUUUAAUUUAUAGUGGAAUAAGAUUGAAAUUCAGGGUUGUGAGAUGGAUAUUUGUUGCAGAUUGAGAAUGGUGUUUGUAGCAAUAAUGUGUUAGCAAAAGGUGUUGUGGUUUUUUUAAGUUUUCGUGCUUCUUUUCGGUUUUUGUUUGUUUGAAUUAGUACACCAAAUUUACCAGUAUUAUUGAACCAUUCGUGUAUAUUACGAAUGUAGAAAGCCGAGGUUAUGGUCCAAGAGUGACGGUUAGGAGCAUCAAGAGAAUCAAGAAAGGCGAAGAAGUGACUGUUACUUACACUGAUUUGUUGCAGCCUAAGGUAUCUGCAUUUUAUCUAUAUACACAUUAUACAUGGAUCAGCGAUUGGAAUUUUGAAUUCAUAUAAUCCACAUCUGUUUUGUCAAGUUAACUGAGCGAUGUUUCGAUGACUGUGAGAUGAGAAUUUGCUAGUGUCAUUUUCUGCUUAUUGUCCCUGUCUUAGGAAACUAAACUUGAUGAGACAAUGCAAGGCAAUCCGACUUCUUUCCACUUUAGGGAUUAGCUAAAUCUUGCCCCAUUUGACUUUUCUUUUACUUAUUUCCAAUUUUAAUUGUGUUGAUGUUAUAUUUUAAUCCCUUUCUUUUAACGUCACAUUUUCUUUUCUUCUCAUGAGCUCCUCCAGGCAAUGAGGCAGUCAGAGCUAUGGUCAAGGUAUCGGUUUAUCUGCUCUUGUACGCGAUGUAGUGCAUCACCCCUAACCUACGUGGAUCAAGCUUUGGAGGUGGCAAUUCAUGAAAACUUUUUCUUUCUUUCUUGAUAUUCUCAAUUAAAUACUAAUUCUUAAGUCUAUUUGGAGUUCUUCCGUAAUAUCUUUAUACUAUUGAUUUUACAGAAAUUAUAAAUGCACUAGGAUAUUUGUACUUCUAGAUUCUUGUUUUUGUAUCCCCCCCUGUAUAUAGUUUGGCCUUCACUUUGAACAAAAGCUCUUUUUCAACUUGAACAUGAAUUACCUCCUAACCAUUUUUCUUCCUCUCUGGCAGUCAACUUUAUUUCCUAGGAUGUAGCUAAUGUUCUUAUUGGUGUUUUUUGAAUAAUCAUUAACCUUCGGUUUCAAAACUCCAGGAAAUAUUUGCAGUCAAUUCCAACUCCUCCAGUUUGAGUUUAGAAAUAAACUUCAAUAGAGAUAAGGCAACGCAAUUGUUGAGUGUUUACUUUGAUGAUGCUAUUGACGACUACCUGUCGAGUGGCGAUCCUGAAUCUUCUUGUGAGAGGCUUGAGCAUGCGUUCACACAAGGACUCUCUGAUAUGCAAUUAGAUUGCAACGGAGAAACAUCUCAGCUGAGAUACUGGUUGCACCCAUUAAAUUACCUCUCCCUAAAUGCCUACACAACAUUGGCUUCAGCGUAUAAAAUCCGUGCAACUGACAUGAUAGCUUUAUGUUCUAAAAUGGAUGAUCAUCUGUUAAAAGCUUUGAACUUAAGCAGGACUAGUGCAGCAUACUCCUUACUACUUGCUGGUGCAACUCACCAUCUGUUCCGCUCUGAAUCGUCUCUAAUUGUAUCUGUUGCAAAUUUCUGGACAAGCGCAGGGGAGUCAUUGUUAACUCUUGCUAAAAGCUCAGUCUGGAGUGAGUUUGUCCACCGGGAUCUGCCUGUGUCAAAUCCAUGUUCCACUGCAAGUUAUAGAUGUCCAAAAUGCUCAUUGAUAGACAAAUUUGAAGCUUGUUUAUUCUAUGGUCAAGUUCAACAUGCAGAUUUUGACGAUGUCUCAAGUGAAUUCAUUGAUUGCGUCUCUAACUUUACACAGAAUGUUUGGAAUAUUUUGGCUCUCAGUUGCCAGUACCUUAGAUUGAUUAAGAGUCCUAUUGAUUUCAGUUGGCUUGGUACCACAAAAGAUUCCAGUGUAGGGGAAGUUCUGAUUCGGUCUAGUGGCACUAAAGCGGGUUCUUGUGGGACUGAGAGAAGCAUUUCUGGAAGUGAAGCAGAGGGAUACACAGCCCAGGUACGGAUAUGUAUUUUUAAGCUCGGUGUCCAUUGCUUACUAUAUGGAGGAUAUCUAGCGAGCAUAUGUUAUGGUAAUUCCCAUUUGACCUGUUAUGUUCGUAAUAUUUUAGAUAUGGAAGGGAUAUUAUUGAAUCCUUGUCAUGAACCAAAUUGAGUUUGAGAUCUUAGAAGUUAAAUUAUUCCUGUUUUGGUGUUAAUUGCUGUGUUAUUAUACUCGUUAAGAAUCUGUUAAAAAUGUUGGUUGCAUAUAUCGUCUUCUCUGCUUGUGAUUUUUCGCCUCGAACUCUAUUCGUCUUGCAUGAUGCCCCAAGGAAUCAGCCACACGUAUCAGAAGUUUGUGUCAACGGAUUCAAUUUGAUAGACUACAGUGGGUUUCAAAAUAGAAUAAUCCGCUAUAGCUGUUUCAUAUAUCAUUUCGGUUCAGUCAAAUUAAAGAACCAAAAUUGAAAUCACAAUUGGAUUCGAUUUGGAAACAUCUGAAAUACAAAAUUGAAACCACAAUCGAAUUAAAGAACAAAAAUUGUCAUCUCCUGAUGCAUCCCUGUUUCUAUUUGUGUUCGUGUUUGUGUCAAAAAUACAUCGUAAGAAUGUUAUAACAGUUGCAUACUUAAAGCGACGCCCUACUGAAUGUUACAAUAGAUGCAUACAAGACCGUCGCUAAUGUCAAUGUUUCUUCUUUUUGUUGGACUUUGAGUUGGAGCCAUGCUCAUUUUUAUGUCGCUUUUCCCCACUCUUGUGACUCUCUCUCUGUUUUCCUUUAUCCAUUUUGUUUCUACUUGAUUUCACGCUAACGAGACCACCAGCAGGUAGGUUUGCACCGCCAUUCUGUAAUGCAUUCUCAAAGUCUGCAUCUCUGUCCCCAAUCGCGUACUGUUGAAGCAACUUGGGAUCUAAUGACCCCUCCGAGUUGGAUCUCAUCCCAUCCUGUAUGUGCGUAGUCAAGUCAGCCCAACUCUUGGGAUUCAGAACGCGGGAAAGAGAGGCAGUUCAGGUAACACGAAGGUAAGGAAGGAAUAAAGCGUACCUCAACUUUUCUUGCAGCAUCAUUGAGAUCAUCAUCAACAGAGAUCUUGUGAGGUUCCAAGAGAGUCUGAACCAAAAUUUCCGAAUCAGAGUGGAGUUACAACAUAGGCAGAAGAAAAGCACAGUAGCAUACAUACACGCACGCACGCACAAUUAUAAUGUGAUAGACGAUGUUUAAGCUUGCAUUAAGAAACACAAUAAUGUAAACUUAGCGAUUACAUAUCAAACAAAAUAGUUCAGGUACCAAAGUGGCUCACGCGCAACACACAUGUCAAUAUCAUAUAGUUAAGCCAACUAGAAUCAUAAUGCAUCCUACGACAUGAAAUUAUUAGAAAGAGAUGGAAACCACCAACAUAUCAUGUACUUUCCAUAAGAAAAAAAAGGGUUACUGCUUUGCUGAACUUACUUCUUUUGGUUUAGGCAAGGUUGACACAAGGCCCUCAGAUGCAAUAGCGUAUAGAUAUUUGUGAAACUUUUUCAUAACUUUUAUAAACAGAGACAAUAUUUGCUGCCUUUCCAGUUUCAUCAACCCCUGGAAAACGUGAAUGUAAGUAAAAAUCUACACCUGAUAAGAAUGAAAUAAAGAGCAGAAAUGACGCCACCAAGUAGAGUGUUUUGUCUUUGCAAGUGGGUUUGAUUGCGUGCUCGCAUUGCAUCUAUGUGACUGGUAUAGCCAAGCAAACCAUAUGAGUAACAAGUAGAGAAACAAACCUCAAUAUAGGAGAUAUCUUGAUUCUGUAAGCCAAUGCAGAGCAAUAUGGAAGCCUGGGCACCUGUCAAUGUCACUGGAAGUUUCUCUUGGAAAUACAGAUGUGAAAGCGUUGGAACAAGAUCCAAAAUCUGUAAAAUAAAAGCAUAACUUUAACAUGUGUAAAGUUAUAAACAAACGAUAACUAGAGUACAAGAGGACCUCAGUUUAGAAAAUGACACUUAAUUUCAAAUUCAAAUGGACCCCAGGGUUUAAACUGUAAUUUUAAAAACAAUUCGCAGGUAAUUUGAAGAAAGUAAGGUCUGUUGGUUAAGGAUGAAAAUGCAAUAAGCCCUCGGAUCCCUCCUCCCCACUAUCAUCUAUGCCUAACAGGAGGAAGAACAUCUUGACACAUUCAAACUGGCAGCCUUUCCCAAAAAACAGAAGGAAGCAGAUAAUCCACUCAAACCAUAAUCAACAAAAAUGGACGACAUGCCAUUGACCAGGAUGCACUGCACCUUCCUGAGAACCGCACAACAAAUGGGUUCACCUCCCUCAGGGGCAUACCCACAAGGGGGUGGGAUUGGGUGGGAGGGGAAGAGAAGGGGUCUAAUAGCCUAAUCGCUGUUGAUUUCAUCUUUUUAUGUAACACAGAGCACGGGAUGAAACAUCGGCCACAGAAUCCUACACACAAAUUACUUGUAAAGUACACAAAUUCCCCUUCUCAAACAAGCAAUUUUGAACUUUUAAUGUGUAACUGAACAUAUAUAUACAUAUAAUUAGAUCAAUAACUAAACACAAUGUCCUAAUAGUUCACUUUUGAAAAAGAUUAUUCAUAAAACAUUGCAAGAGUAAUAUAUGUUCACAAUCAUGGUAUCAGAUUGUCCACAGUAAGAAAACAAAUAUUUCACCACUGUCAACUAAAAAUUGUAUCACAAUCACAAUCAUAUUGCCACACUGAGACGAUAAUUCUAUCACAAAGGAAUACAAUUUUUCUUUUGUAAUGCAAUAUUACUUUCUUUUUCUAAAGGAAAGCAUAUUUUGUCUUGUAACGCAAAUAUCUUUUUUGAUUCUAAGGGAAGUAUUUCUUGUUCUGUAAUGCAAACAUUACUUCUAUUUUUAAUAUGAAUGUAUGGAAUCAAUUAGUAAUCCUAAGAUAAAAAAAUCCCAAAACACUACAUAGCACUAUGACAGGGCAAGUUGGCAAUCAACCAUUGUUCAGAGAACUUACCAUAUGAAAGUCAGCAAGACUGCUGGUGUAGGCCUCCAGUCGCUUCAUAUCAUAAGGCGAAAGUAAGUCUGUGAUAGACCGUAAGAAUCCAUCUGUGGUAGACGAUUUGGGUUCUCCAUCCUUGUAAUUGAUCUUAGGAUCUAAGAUGCUGGAAAAUUAUUAGUUAGUACGAGCACUUGAACAAUAAGCAUUUAUCAGAAUGGAACUUUUAAUAGUACCUCAUAGCGAGCCUAUAAUCCAUUGUACGAAAACUAUAACCCAAUAGUCUCAAAAAUCUUCUCCUGAAAUCUAGGUAGCCAACAAAUAAUCAAGCUGUGAACUGAAAUACAAAAAAUCUGCACAAAUUUAAAUAGAACAAAGGUUUUCCAAAGAAAAAUGGGCCCACCUAGGUUGAAUGGACGAAAAUCACUGGUUUCAAGUUCAUCAUUCUUCAAAGAUUUGAGGACCAUACACGUAUGCUCCCCGGUCACACCACUCUAUUACAUUGAAAAGAAAAAUGAAAAAUUAUUGUUUAAUCAGUCAUUCAUUCACAAAUGAUAAUAUUCAAAAAAACAGUAAACGGAAAAAAGGAUUCAGUAUGGAGAGGGGAAUCCAUCUUAACUGGAAUAUGUCCAAUAUAGAAUGGAGCAAACUUAUGUUUCCACCAAAACCUGAAAAGGUCCAAGGUAAGCCCAAAGGAGACACCAAUAUAAUGGAGCUUCUCUGGUCGCCUUUCACGAAGAUGAACAAGCAAAUGAGGAAGAUCUGUUCUAGGUUUUAUACUUUCUUCCAGCAAUGAAACCUAUAAAUAAAAUAGACAUAGGUAUCAUUCCGAUAAACAAUAUCAAGGCACAGGCGGCAGGUUGAUUAAUACCAAACAAACAAACCAAUACAUGAUAAUAUACUUUGAUGUCAUUAUGAUUAAAAUUAACACAACAAAUGAUCAUUCACAAAAGUUUGUCAAAUUAUAUUCAAACACAGAAAUUGUUCUACAAUCACCGGAAUGAAGCUUAACCAACUCAAACACUUCGACAGAACAAGAAUUGCAUUACCAGAAACCUAUGAGUUACAAAAUUGCCUCCAAUUGCAAUAAUAAUACAUAGAAUAGUCUCGUAUAAGCAGUUCUCCAACCUAUUAAUUAAAAAUAUUUAUAAAAAAAAAAAAACUAAGCUUGGUGAUUGUAGUUCACCUUCUCAGCAGCUUCUGUGACUCUGAGUGGGGGAGUCUCAACAUCUUCAACGUCCAGUUCAGAAAUAGGAGCAAACUGUCCUUCGUAGUACCUGAGGAGAAAUAAACCCUUAACACCCAUUUUUUCAAAUAUAAAAACAUAAAUGUGAAGCAUCAACUUUUAGAACCAAAGAGAUUCAGUGCAAUUUUCAUGUCAAAACACUUUUAUCUCAAUAAUGAAGUACUUAUGAGUUACAUUGAUACAAGAGCAAUGCAUCCCACAUAUCACACACAUUCCUUAUAUCUGGAUCCCCAACAAUAGCAAUCCAAUGUCACCCACAUAGCACAUGAUACAUACCAGAGGUGUCCCUAGAAUGUCCACAUCAGCCAUUCCUUAUAUCUGUGUCCCCAAAAACAUUUGCAGUAAAAAGUACAUGGACUUAUGAGCACAAAGGGAUAACGGACAUGUAUGGGUUGACUUGAGAGAUAAACCAAGUAAAGUAAGUUCAAGAAAAAAUCUAGGACCAAAUAGGAUACAAGGUCAGAAUCAGUGUGACCCAUCUAAAAAGUUAGGACCCCACAUUAAUUUGUGCAGUCAACAACGAGGAUCCAUCUUUGGAUUAUUAUCCUAAAACGCUCUAUCUUUGGAUUAUAUCCUAAAGUGCUGCUGGUUAAGCUUGUUUCUGGUUUUUCUCUGUUGGAAAUUUCAAUUACUAACGAAAUAUCCAAUCUUCAUUUAAACAUACAGAUUUAAACUCAACUGUUGGCACUGCAGACUCUUGGCCAUUGUUGGGAUUGAAAUAAGCUAGAGUUUCUCAAGAUAAAUGCGGAUGAGGUGGGUUUUAUUUGAGAUAGCGAAUUCCAUGUGUUUGUGGAUUUAUUGCCAAAGCAAUUUGGGAAGAUCCCUGCUGUUUCCUCCAGAUGGAUGGGGUUAUAAUUUCAUUGUAACUUUUCUGAAGUAAGUUUUAGUUGGACUCCUUUUCUUUGCAAUGGACAACUUCUCCUCCUUUCCUUUAGAAAAUGCUUUGCUUUGCUGAAUUUUUCGUAACUCUUAGAAAUGUAACCCAAACUAAGAUGAAAACCCCCAACAUGACCGUAUUUUAAUAUGCUAUCACUUCUAAUCCUCUAUAUCUUUCCACUUGUUUCUCCAACUACCAUCAUAUGACUCGAGAGUUGUAUUGUGAGAAAGUCAUCUGUAUAUCAAAACUGAAAUCAAAUGAUCAUCUCUUCAGCACCCACAUGGUCUAUGUUCUAUAGCUUUCAACCCAAGUGAACUGAAAGCAUGAGACUCACAUUUUGAGUUGCGACUUUAUGUGCCUGAGCCAGGGUGCAUAUGCAUGAUUGCUUUUCAUUCAUUUUAGAAAUCAUUUGAAGCAUUGCUUCAGACAUAUAAUCUUCAAUCUUUUCACCUUUUUUUUUAUGACAAACAGUAGCGUUAGUGGGUUAAAAGUUUAUUUGUUAGGGGGAGGGGAAUCGAUGGGCAUCAAACCCGCACCAGGGUGCAUAUGCAUGAUUGCUUUUCAUUCAAAGUGUAGCAAUAUGGGGCUAAAAGAAUCACUCAGUCAAUCUUUCUCAACACCUUAGGCAUCCACAUACACAUUGGGAUCAUGUAUGUGAUCUACAAAAACGUUUAGGUGGGGAAUAACUCAAAGAGGAGCAUACCUUGUCAAUAGUUCCACUGCUUGUGAUCCAUAUCCAAUCUACAACAACGAAAAAUAAAUUACCAUUUCAACAGAUCCCUGGUUAUAGAUUACCAUUUCAACAAAAUCCUGGUUAUACAUAUUGCUUUGGAAACCAUAAUGAGAGAAUACCUUCAUGGCACUUGGAUGUGUAGCAAUUCGUACAAUCCGAGCACCUGAAAGACUGGGAAAAACUGUGUCCUGAAAUUGCUCACAGAAUUUCCAUGGUAUCUGGUCACCAGAAGGCUGAUGACCAUCACUUAAACUUUUCAUUGCAGAUUCACGAGAGAUCUUUCCCUCAAGGCAGACCUAAGAACAAAAUGAUAGCACAUAAAAUGUUGAGCAUCAAAGAAUUAGUGUUUUAUAGAAGAUGAAGUACGUGUUUAAAGUGUUGUCCUUUAUUGCUAUUUCACAUAAGGUAAAAUUAUAAAUAAAAAAACUAAUAAAAUUUUGGGUAUGCGUUAAAUAACUAAAAGAAAUAAUAGUCCUGAACUAGGGGAAGACAGUCAAACCUGAAUGACACACAAAAUAUCAGGAAGCUGAUUUUUUGACUCAUCAACAGGGCCUGCACGUGCAAAUUAUAAUCAAGUCCAGCCAAAUAGCGGCAAAAAAAGAAAGACCAGUUCUAACGUAACAUAUAUACCAAGUAGCACAAACAGGUGGUGAGCCGGGGCAUCAGCCAUUAGUUGCAAAUCAUUUGGAGAAUUUUUGUAGUGGGAGGCAACAUAUAGAGCCAUCAUCCGCUGCAAGUAUUAGAAUAUGUAAGUUCACUAAUAUGAAAAUGAGAAUCACUAGUCUGACAUUACUUGAACAUGUAAUUACCUGUAAGAACAACUCGCUAUCUUUAUGAUAUGAAAAAAGCGUAUCACAGUUUACGUAGUACAGAUCGCACUCACUGGGUGCAGGUAACCUAGCCGCCAAGAGAGAGAGAAGAGAGAGAGAGAUCAUUAAUAAAGGUAAGGGUUAUAAUGGAGAUGGUUACAUCUUCCUCGGUUCUGACUGUCUAAGCAAAUGUUUUUACCCGUUAAGUUUAGGGAUAUAAUUUGUGAUAUCCAAGCAAAGUAAACCAUGAAGCCAGGAUUCAAUCGGAUCACCAGAAGCAUAUCUGAUAGAUUCUUUCAAUUCUAUCUUUUUGAAAAGACGACCUACAAUCAGGGACAUUUAUCAAUUCAGAAAAUUAUGUCCAAAUAUCACAAAAUAGUUUUUAAAAAAUUAUACAUUGCUCACUUGCAAGCGCCAACAGUUCAAGUAUUUCAGAAACAAUAAUGUUAAGAGAAAGCAGAAGAAACAUUGAAUUUUGAAAAUAAAUUCAAGUUUUGGGGGGAAAGGGGGAUUUUGAUCCAACCUAAUUCAAGAUGAGAAUACAAAACACGGCCAAUAAGGAAUAAGCAUACCAGAUGUAGGCCCCUUAGCAGACACUUGGCUUUGCUCUUCCAAUUGCUGUAGAAGUUUUAGGGACAAAGACCGACCAGUACCUUCAUAGCUUUCAGUGUAAAAUAAAUGUCCUUUAGUAUUUAAAUUGCACUUAGAUUUUUUUUUUUUUACCAAAAGUUGAAUUCAGAGUUGACUUAUAAAUAGAAAGACAUCAAGCAUGAGUCAAGGAAAAGUGGAAACAGCCCAUGAAAAGUGAAAGAUCUUUCAUUCCCCCCCGCGGCCGUAACAGAAAGUGAAAAAGUGAAGUGAAAUAUGUUUCAUGAGACUGUUAAAACCAAAAAAGAACACAUGAUAAGAAUACACGACAUGAAGGAAGAAGAACAUGGAUGAAUCUUACCCAUUAACAGUAGAUGAAAGGAAGACCAGAUAAGGACCAAGCAAAGACUUCACUACUGGUAGUGGAAUAGCAGCUGCUUCAUCAACAACCAACAGUUCAACUUGGGAAAGCUUUUCAUGCUCAUGUGGCCGUAUAUACUGCAAGUACAAGUAACAAAAGUAAAAAACAAAUAGCCCCAAAAGCAAUGAGCAGUACAAAGUUCUUUCUUUUAGGCUACAUGAGGUGUAAAGGUCUAGACCACCUCACAAUCUCACAGGCAUGUUGAGUGCCUCUAUACCAUACAUACUGGAUUAGUGCCAGGAAGACACAUUAGGUUGACCAAAAAGUUUGGCGUUUCAGGAACAUGCUUUUAGAAGCAAGCUUCAGUAAUCACAAACCAUCUAAAUUAUGUUCAAUAUGCUCACACCAAUAACAAAAAUGAUGCACUUGGGCAAAAGUACAAUAGAAUUUUUGGAGUAGUCAAACAAAGACAACCACUAAUCAUAUAUGAGGGCAUACGACAUUUGAUGGGCAAAAGGUGAACACACUCAUGGCUAUUGUGAUGCGGCUAUCCAAUAGAAGAAUAUUCUCUAUUACAACUUGGUUAUCAACUUUUCAUGAGUAACAAUUCCUCCAUGUAUUUGUAUUUUGGUAUCAACUGACUAAACAAAAUCUUUAUUGCUAUUUUUUUAUAGAAAACGAGAUUUUAUUAAACAGCUAAAAAACAAUACAACACUUAGUGGACUAGGAAGUCCACCAUCAAAACGAAACAGCCCUGACAUAUGCCUCAACAUUCACCUCCAUCAUUAUAAAACAGAUCUGCAACUAUCUCACUGCAACUCCCCAAUCCAACAAAAUUACAUAAAAUGAAAGAUCCCAAAACCUUGGAGAGAGAGAAGCCAUAAGAAUGCCCAAUUCUUUCCCAAGAAUUCUCUUGUAAAUCCCCACUCUAAUUUUCAAAGGUUGCAAACUUGAAAUUAACAUAGAAGGUAACUGGCUUCAGAGUCAACUAGGAUAAUACUGGGCAUAUAUGCAGAGAGUAGGCAUAGUAGCAACUUUCAGGGUAUGGAAUAAUACAAAAGGAAAGGGAAGACCACAGAAUUCUCUCAGUCAUCUUAACUUGAUUUGGUACUAAGAAUAAGUUAUGUAUACACUUCCCACUGGCCCAUCUGUACGUUAAUAUAGAAAUAGAUUAUAUCCUGGCAACAAGGAAGUGAAAUACUCCUAUUUUUAUAUCAAUAUUGGGCACAAAUUAAGAGUUCAUCAAUAUAAUUUUACCUCAAUUGUAACCAACUGUGCAUAUAAGUUUACCUGAAUUGUUUGUCUGUGCUGCUUGUAUAUAUUGAUCUGUACAGUUGCUUUCUUCAACAAAGGGUCACUACUUUUCUGUACAUCAUAAUCUAUAUGUUCCUGCAAACAUAGUUUACAACUGUAAGCUCAAUAACUAGUGCACUGUUCGAAGUACAUGAUUGAAAAAUGAAGAAAACGGAGUGACCUUAUAACAAUUAAUGAAAGAUAAAAUGUAGUUCACAGAAUAAAACAUUCAAACACCACCAUCUUGAUAGUUAAACAAUUUCACUGUAAAAGCUAUUAAACUUAGCAGGAAAAAAAAUUUAAACUUUAUCUAACAUUUGAAUCUACAAUUUUCAAUUAGCAACUCUUGUCACAAAUGUUUAUUAGUGGGGUACGUUCUAAGAUAUUGUUAUUUGCUAAUUGUCGAGGAUUAUUUGGGAGUUAAAUCUCACAAGAAGGCGUAAAGAUCACAUUAGAAUUAGAUAUUUUACUAGGAAGCUAAAGAUCACAUUAGAACCACCCGCAGGAAUACAAAAAAACGACAUACCUUAUAGUCCAGUUGAUCAAAACCCUUGCAAACAAAUUCGAACAAGGUUCUUAAGUUCUCAGGGCUGGGUGCAGUUACAAAUAUAUUUGAAUACCUGUGAAGAUAUAUUUGUAUCGUCAAAACAUAGUACAUGAAUAUGAGUGUAGACAGCUACACAUACACCAAAACAGUUUUAAUACAUUGUAAAAGGCAUACUACCCUGCAGCAAUAGCUCCGGAAAUUGCCAAACCAAGUGCAGCCGAUUUUCCACGGCCUCGAGCAGCAAGCAAGGCAACAGUACUUCGGAGUGUCUUGUCCAAGAUUGCAUCAAGAAAUGUAGCAACAGCAUUUCCCUGUUGAAACAUUUACCAACUCAAACUAUGAGUCAUAUUAGUAAAUCACACAUGAUAGAAAAACUCAAAACUAAUACAAAUCAGAGAGAGUGCCUACCUGGUCCAACGUACAACAUUUCUUUAUUAAAGGGCCAACAGGAAAGGCAUCACUCAGCUGCUCUUUUAGAUCCUUCAGUUCCCUUUGUGACUCUGAUAUCCCUUCAGAGUCCUUCAAUCAUGAUCAGAAAACAAGAAAAAAGUUAUCAAAGUUAUCAAAGCUUCACAAACUCCUAGAAAGUAUCCUAAUAACCAUUCGGUAUACACACACUUGAAAAAUUACUUUUAUUCUUUUUGUCAUCUCGCAUAAGAUGCCACGAAAAUAAAGCAUUCCUCGAUUUAUCAGUUCCGUCCUAUAGAAAAGUUACAAGGCUAAAAGGUUACCUCUUUCACUGGAACUGGGGUAAUUGACCUCAUAUGAGAUGAAAUUGGUAAAAUAUUCAGCUCAUCAUCCAUUACUACACAUGAUUUGCAUGACGCAAGUGACAAUAAGAAACGCUCGUUAAAACGUCCAGUAGCCUUAGAAUGGGAUUCAGUUCGAAACCUAUCAUGAACAUCCUGAAAUCAAGAGGCGCUGAUAAGACUGUAUGGAGAUUUUUGCAUUUGAGAGAACGAGAAAGACAGUGUUGCAAAUAAAACAUGACAUAACGGAAUUGUUAUCAAAUAUAAUAUGUGGUGCAUGGCUAUUGCUAUAUUCGUUCUAAGUCCAUAAUGUAGUAAAACUAGAAACUACCUCAACAAGAAGAACAAAUAUUAUGAGGAAACCUAGUUGUUUUUUCUUCUUCUUUUUGGGGCUAGAACAUGAAAAGAAACAACUAGUCUACAUAGGCCCAACUGGGAAACUUAUAUGUUCAGCAGCAUUCUCUUAAAGAAAGUCAAGCAAUUGAAUCUACCAAAAGUCUUCUUGUAGCCAAGCACAUCAUUACGAAAAAAUUCGGAAACUUUUAACAUGGCUAGUUUUCAAGAUUUUGCGGUAUAUAAUAAGCAUAACCAUGCUGGCCUAAAAACUAAGCAUUAAUUGUGUGCAUGCGUAAGAGAAAGAGGUAUUAUUAUAUGCAUACCAUAACCAUGGUGUAGAGGUUGGUGAGUGAGGUUAGAGAAUGAAGCAACAAUAUGACUAGUCCACCUCCCUCCACUGUCUCUAUCGUUCUUGCUAGUAGAUUUGGAGUCAAGGCCUCAAAAUCCUAAUGCAGGAGAUCAAACUUAGUCAUAAAACUUAAAUCAAUUAUACAAGGGGUCUUGGCCAAACCAGUAAAUUUGUAAGUUUCAAGUUACCUGAAGUAUACACAUUCCAAAGGUAUUACCAAGAACUCUUUCUGAAUCCUUGUACAAGCAAUAAGUCAAUCCCCCACUUUCAACAAAAAGUGAGAAAGGAUCAACCUUCUCGGGAUCAAGCAGCCCCCUCUGCAUCAUCUUUUUUACUUGCUUAGCACGUUUUUUCUUGUGACUGCAUCAUGAAGUAGUCAAACGCAACGAAUCAAUAUAUUUUAAAAACGAAAUUCCGCCUUGCCUUAUAAUAAGGUGAAGAAUGGAAGGUAGAAGAAAUCAACCUGCUGAGCUCGAGCUUGUCCUUGUAGCACCACAACACAGUCGGGCGCGAUUUCUUUACUUCAUUGCUUAGCAUAUAAUGAAGAUUCACAAUCUGAAGACCAUAUAAAACUCCAUAUUAGCCAUUUUCCGUUAGUUUUCGAUAGAUUUUCGAUGAUAUUUCUUACCUUGUUUGAGGUUUUUAGUGUUACUCGGUGAGUAUUGCAGGUGAAAACAAGAAACAGUAAAACUGGUAAAAUUUUCUACCCAAUUCAAUUUAAAUCAUUGUUAUAACUCCUCAAAUUGAAUAGGAAUAGCAAAUAGGGAAUGGGAUAGGAAAGGCAGAAGAAAUUAGGAGUACCUGGUCACGGGAUUUGUCGCCGACGAUGACGAACAUGGAGCGGUGCCGGUUUUUGACGCCAUUGCUUAUUAGGGUUCGGAUUCGUUCGUCCACCUUCUUCCUCAUUCUCUCUCUCUCUUCUCUCUCUGUGCAAUUAGGUUUAGGGUUUAUACCAUAGGGCAGUUGUCGUCGUCGGGCAGGGUUUAAGCCGAACUAGUGAGAGAGAGACUAGACAUCGCGGAGAGAUAUUGAGUUCAUCUCAACCGUUGAUUGGCUAUCUGAUGGCUGUUAUCAAAGCUGACAUAAAAAUGAAAACUCAACACGUGGCCAAGUAUUUUUUUUCUCUCUUUUUUGGCUUAUUUAUUGAUUUGCCCCAGAAAUUAUUUUUUUUGUCUUACUCUAGGUCAUGAAACAGAAUUUAUCUUACUUUAUCUUCUAAAACUACCAAAAUCGAGUCAUUUCACCCAUGUUUUGUCAAUUCUAUCUCAUAAACGUUAAAUAAAAGGGAGUCUAAACAUUUCAUACCAUGCUAGCAAAGAUGAGCCACUGUUGUUGGUGAGGUACGAAAUUUUCAAACUUUCCUAAACCUUUAAAACUUAAAAGGUAUCUUGAAUAUGAACGUAAAUGAGGUAAAGUUGCUCAAUUUUGGCAAUUUAUGAAGGGUAAAAUGAGACAAAUUCAAUUUAAGGCUAAAGUGAGAGUAAAUGGCAGUUUCAUGAGAUAUAUCAAUAAAUAAAUCUUUUCUAGAAUACAACUAAAUUAUGUACUCACGGUAAAAGAUAAAUUAAUAUCGAACUUGUCAUUGACGAUAUCUAAACAUAAAACCUUUCAAGUUUUUACCUAUAAGAAUAAAUUUGGUAUAGUAAUUUCUUUUCUAAUUUAAAGUUUCCCAUAGAGUUAUGACGAAUUUGAUACCAAAUUAGGCUGUCAUUGUGUGGCAUAGCCGAAUUCCUCCUCCCUUACUUUAAAAAUAACGAUGUACUCAAAAAAAGUUUCCCAUAGAGUUAAAAUGAUCUUUAGUUGCUUGCUGAGACAACCCAUAUGUAUAAUAAGACAUUGAAAAAGGUGCCUCUGUCAUUUACACUCACACGAUCGAAUAAGUAGCUCCGACAGUUGCAUCAUAAAAUUAAGGGGUUUUCCGAGAUUGUAGUAAGGUUGACGAUUAAAGUUUGGGAAAUUUUCAGGUUAAGGAAUCAAGGGAUCACAUUUUCAAGUUUCGUAGGCAUUCUCUUUCCUUUGGAAUGGUGUUGGAAUCCGUCCUGAAGUUGCCCAUUCCUUUGCUCUUGAUUUUCAGAGUUGGAUAGCUAUAAACCUUAGGACACAUUGUACCACCAUACAUGGUUUACCUUGGAACCUUAUCUUUAAUUCAACUCUCUGGCAUUGCUGGAAAUGGAGGAAUAACUUUGUCUUCAAUGAUGGCCAACAACCGCUUGACUCACCCCAGAAUUUCAUUUUUCAAUUUGCAAGGGAAUGGUGUGAUGCGAACAAGUGUUCUUCUAGUAAGCCUCCUAGACAAAAUCAUCUCAAUCCAUUGGAUUCGUUUGCCAAUUGGUAUACAAAAUCAAUACAGAUGGGAGUUGUAAAGACCCAUUUAGCCACAUAAGUGCUGGAGGUUUGCUUCGUAAUUCUGAAGGGAAAUGGAUUAAGGGAUUUGCUGCUAAUUUGGGCAGAGGAACCAUCAUGGAAGGUGAGCUUUAAGGGUGGUUUCAUGGGACUUUCUAUAGGUUGGGAUGAGAGUUGCAAGGAAGUGAUUAUUGAAUGUGAUUCUUAUGCUGCUGUUACUUUGAUCCAACAACCUAUUUUAGUUCCCACUCUACAAUCUCAUUAUUGACUGCAAAGAAGCCAUUGAAAGAAAUUGAAGAUGUGAAGUUACUCAUAUCUAUAGAGAAAAUAAUGUCUUAGCUAAUCACACGUCUGACUUAGGUCAUGGGUUAUCACUUGGUCUUCAUGUUUUUGCUUCUCCUUCUACCAUUGCUACUAAUUUUAUAGUUUCUAAUACUAUUGGCAGGGCCCUCCCUAGAGCUGUUUUUUAGUAGCUUUUUUGUUUUGCUUGUUGGGCUUUGCCCUCUUCUGUACCCAAAAAAAAAAAAAAAAAAAAAAAUAUUGGGAAAUUUAUUUGGACCCAACUUUUUUAUCUCUACACCCAAAUAAUAUUUUCUCUUAUCUAAUCUUCCAAAUUUGUCCUUAAAUAACAAACAUUGAAGUUUUCUUUGUAUCUCUACACCCAAACCCCACGAUCCACCACUGUAGGGCGCUCCAUUAUUUCCGACAAACCCAACUCAAACGCCAGCAACACUAAAAUCGACAAAUCAAGACUGGAGAACAAAUGGUGUAGGAGUCCUAAUGUGAAUAUUAAAGCAAACUUAAGUUGCAAAACCCUUUUUUAUUUCAAUCGAUGAAAGGACCUUGGGUUAUGAACAUAAGGAACCUAUUAGGGUUUAGAGGUCCCCUCCACAUCAUAUGCAUAAGCCCUUUUUCUUCAUUCAUUAAUUUACGGAAGGGAAAAUUAAUACUAUUAUUCUCAUAAAAAGUGGGAAUACCAAGGAAAGAGAUCCUCUCCACACCAUAUAUUUUUCUUUUCUGAGUAGUUAUAUCCAAUGGAGAGAGGAAAACAAGAGCACCAAUGGUCGCAGGUUCACCGGAGAAAAUGAAGGUGCAGUGGUGAUGUGAGUUUAGGGUUAUUGGGUGUAAAGAUAACAACUUUAAUAUUUAUUUUCUCAUUUUUAUUUAUUUAAGGGCAAAUUUGAAAGUUUAGUAGAGAAAAUUUGUUAGUUGGGUGUAGAGAUAAAAAGGUUGGGUCCAACAAAAUUUCUCAUAAAGUUUAAUCACGCGAUUAAGUUCUUGUGCAAUGAGUAAAUUGUAGCAAUGACCCAUCAACUAAAAAUCCAUUAUUAUUGAUCCCUCAACUCAUCAAAAUAUGUAGUUAUGGUCAUUUUCGUCAACUUUGUAAGAAUUUUGUCAAAAUAAAUUAUGUUGGAAGGACCAUUGUUACAAUUAAGGUCCUUCAACUCAUCAAAACAUGUAGCUAUGGUCAUUUUCGUCAACUUUGUCAAAAUGAGUUAUGUUGGCAUGACCAUUAUUGCAAUUGGGUUAAAGUUGAGGAAUCAUUGCUCCAAUUGGGUUAAAGUUGAGGGAUCAUUUCUCUAGUUAGAUUAAAGUUGGGGGACCAAUGAUAAUUAAGUUUUAGUUAAGGGAUCAUAGUUGCACGUUUUGAUGAGUUGAGAGAUCAAUGAUAAUGAAUUUUUAGUUAAUGGAUCAUUACUCCAAUUGAGUUAAAAAUAAAGGACCAUUGCUACAAUUUACUCUUGUGCAAUAGAAGAUUAAUUUGGCCGAACAACCUGAUUAAGGUGCCUACUUUCUCUUUAAUUCAUUGGUAUCAUUUAUUUUCCCUUAAGCUGAAUUAUGCUCAAUUUAUGUAUCAAUAUUGUAAAGUUGUCUUUGUUAGAGUAAUUUGGACAAUAUAAAUUGAAAAUUAUUUGUGUAUAUGGAAAAGAUUAACCUCAGGGGUCACUUCGCCGGACUCCGUAGCAAUCUCCACCACUCCAAUCGUAAUGGUGAGUAAAUCACUUGUGUUUGUUUCCAUUUUUUCAAUUGGAAAUUGGGGGUUUUGAAUUCAUAUUUUGUCAAUUGGUUUUGUGAGCACUGAGAAUACACUACGAGCUUGUGUGUGUGUACAAUAUGUUGGAUUUGAUCUUUAUAAAGAAUGCGAGAAAUUGGGGUUAGGAAAGAGAAGAAAAGGAAACAGAACUCGAACUUCGAUCUUCAUUCUUGUUACUAAAGGAGAAAACCGAAUUUGAACCGGUUCAUACGUAAUCGAACCGAAUUUGUAUAGUUCGGUUCACCCCUUAGUACCGAACCGUACCAUACCAAAAAAAAUUUCUUGAGUUUGGUUUUGAUACAUCCCUCAUACUGUACCAUACCAAAUCGUGGCCAGACCUACUGAAUACAAAACUUAUAUCUGGGUCGUAAGUCGUAAGGCCUCCAAAAAAAAAGUUCAUAUUAUUCAUACCAAUCGGACAAAUCCCGCACCCAAAAACAAUGGCUAGAUAGAAAGUUCAAUUAUAGAUUAGGUAAUCUAUCCUUUUCAACUUAAAUGCACAUUCAUGAUGGUUAUGCAAAUCAUAUUAUGUUAACAAAUGCAACAAUUAAUUAUAUUUAUCCAUUUGGAAUGAUAUAUAUUUUCAAAGAUGGAAUUACAGACCCCGUUGACGUUGAGGCCAUUGCAUGAGAGAAUUUUAGAUGAUUUUCAAUUAAUUUAUAUUAUUGUUGUGAUAACCAUAAUAAUUAUUUUCUAAAUGUAAAACUAUAUUAAUGAAAUUUUCUUUGUCGGUCAAAAGAAGAUGAAAAGAUAUCUUUAUCUUCUAUCACAACAAAAAAAUUAAGGAUAUUAAUGUAAUAGGCUAAUAGCGAUGGGGUGAAGAAAUGGAACUAUCCUAAAUAGGCAGUUGCUGGUUAUAUUGGAUCAGGUGGUCUGAAUGAUUGGAUAAUUAGCAAAUAAAAAGGUUCCAUUUUUCAUGGACCCUCAAGUGGAAAUAUGGGAUAAAAGAUGGCAUAUACCAUUUUAUCCAUUUGUGAUUGUACAUUUUGAUGGUUGUGAUUUCACCCGAUGGCGCGGCAAGUGUGGAUUGGGAUAAGGAUGGUUUUGGUCUAUCAUCAAAGAUGGUUUGAUGUUCACGACUGGAUUUUACAACGCAUCCAAGUGCAUGGGUUCUAUAAAUACAGAGUUGCGCACAAUAAAAAAGUACAAAGGACCUUCAAACCUUUCACACACUCUGAGAAACUCCUGAUUCUCCCAACUUCGUCAACACAUCUUCAAUUUGGAUUAACAUCACUGUUUGUCAGUGAGGAGUCCUUAGUCUUCUCGUCUCAUUAGCCCUCUAGGUGAAGUGAGGUGUUACUGAAUUACUUGAGUAUUCAGCACAUUGAAAGUCGAACCUUAUUUGAACUUCACAGUAGUUAGCAAUCUUAUCUUCAGGUUUUAGAACCCAAUGCCAAGACAUAUUCCUUCCUCGACAGUGAUGGUUUGUACACAAAAGUUGGUUUGUACACAUAAGUCAGUAUUGUGUUUGACACACCAUCCCAUUCAUUCUACUAGCCCACAAACGCGUGGACUCGUCCAAAAUUACCCCACUCUCGGCCCGUUCACUUGCCCACUCGUCCCACGCGGCCCGUGAGUCUUCAGUGCCUGAUAGGGGGGCCUACUGUUAGGGCCGUUGUUGGCCACAACCCAGAGCCCAACGAUUUUUUUUUGCAUCCCACGACUGGCAUUUUUGGACCGUUGGUUGAUCCAACGGUCCAGAUUCAAAUUUUGUUUUUUUAAAUGUUAUUUUAAAAUACAUUGAAUCCAACGGCUGAGAUCGAAUAUAAUCAAAUCUAACGGUAAAAUAAAAAAAGAUAAAAAAAGAUAUAACAGUCCAAAUUUAAAUCCAACAGCUAAAAUAAUUUUAAAAAAAAUUAUUUAACUCAAAAUUCACCCAAAAACUCUAUAAAUACCUUUGUAUUUGUUCAAACAUCCACACAAAACUCAAUUUUCUCCCACAAUUCUUCCAUUUUUUCUUUCUACCAUUUCUUUCCAUUUCCAAAUUGUUCAACACGAUCCUUGAAUUGGCCAUCCCAAGCAGUAAGACAAUUCUUCCACUCCCAAAGCAUACAAUCGAGACUUCCUAUCAUGUCAGGAAAGCCUAUUUUGUCUGCUUUGAGUAGAAUGUGACGACAUGUCCCGAAUUAUUAUAUAUUUUUCUCCCUAAGUGUGUAAAGUGACGGUAAUGCCCUCGUGAUUUAGUGACGUGGAUGUACAUAUGUAGUUUUAAAUUAUUAUUUCUAUUGUCGUAGUUAAAUUGUACUCGACGCCAUGAGUGUGUUGAUGUGACCUAGGGCUAAAACAAAUUCGUAACGAAGAAGUUACGAACAGACGAGUGUGUAAAUGCGUAGAAAUAUAUUUUUAUGGGUUGGCUAUACCUUACCCACCAAUCACCUUAAUUCCUGAUUUCUUUGGCCUAAUUGAAUUAAAAAUAUCUCUCAUUUUUCCUUCUGCCCAAUCACGCACAUACACACCAUCACUCUCUCUCUUCUCUCGGACCUUCUUCUUCUUUCUUCUCAUUCCGUACACCCGAGCCACCCUUACCUCACAAUCAUCAUCAAAACAUUAUGGAUCGAAUUGGAAAUCACUACCAUCGCAGUCACCUCGAUCCCACGAACUCAUUGAUACCCUUAGGUCGAGGAAUAGACGUCGGGAAUUCGAGAACUCGGGAGCUCUGGCGAGGUGUAUUUUUCUACUUUGUGAUCGUGGUCUUUUUCUAUGGUUUAAAGGCUUGAGGUGGGUCCUAAUCAACUUUAUAGGGACCCUAGAUUAGUUUUGGAGCAGUUUGAACGUUGGAAUAGGUGAGAACAUGGAGUUGCAGGUUGGCCGGUUGAUCCAAGCCUUACUCCGACCACUUUCUGUCGGUUUUAGAACCUCAAGUAGGUAAGAUUGUAUUCUUCUAGUUGAGAGUUUCAAAUCCAUAUAAAAUUCAUGGAAUUUGGUUGAAAAAUGAUGAAGAUAUUAAAGUUUUAAGAUUUUUCCAAAAAUCAGCGACACAAACGGCGCCCGACGGCCAGCGAUGGAUUCCGACAAAGCCAUCGGAGAAGGAGGAGAAUAUUAUGUCUAACUUUGACAGAAUAUACUAACAGCGUCAGGUAACUCUAUUAGUUUUUAAACAAAAUAUUCUACUAUUUAAUGAAAUAUUCCCUAACGCCGUUAGGGAUUCCGUGCCUGCACGUGCCGGCUUAUGAGGGCGCGUGAGACGUCAGGAAAUUAAUCUAAAAAUAUUGGGGUGUUCGAGUUGUUGAGUAGGUCAUGUUGGUAUAUUCAAACACCCUAUUUGAGCAACGUAUGAGAAGUUAUUCCUAGGGUUUGUGUAUGUGCCUUAAAAUUAAUGUAAAAUUAGUUAUUUCGCAUAUAGGUGAGACUUACCCGGAGGACAAACGUGGUCAAACGAGACUUGGGGGCUACGAUCCUACUACUUACCAGUGAGCGGGCUUUUUUUUUCUAUAUAUAUGUAAAUAUGCUUAUGAAUCCCAUAAACUACUUUAAAUGAACGUAUGUUUUAAAUGCCAUGUCGUGUGCAUUAUGUGUUAGUAUUGCAUUAGUAUAGCUAUGCAUAGUAUUGGAUGAGACUGCGCAGACUCAGGUAAGUUUCAGGUGAGUACAUCAUGAUGGUAUUGGGUGCGUGUGUGUGGUUAUACGUUGAUGCAUUUUGAGCUUAUUAUCCUGCACAUUGGUGUUAGUGUUCUCGCCCAUGGCCAGGGCAUAGUUUUUCACAUGAUGUUCACCUCCUGGGCCGCACGCUCACUUUGGAUCCAAGUUUGGUGCACAGCCAUAUUGCACAGACCACAAUAGGUGGUUCCGACUCGUAGGUGACCUGCAAUUAUUUGCACAGCCUUCACGUGAUCGUAGCACUUAAGCGUACUUAUCUACACCCAGCCCUGUUGUACAGACCACAAUAGGUGGUUCCGACUUAUGUGCAUGCAUACUUGAUGAGCUAUAGAUUCAAUUGUACAGGUUACAUUAGGUGACUCCGGUUGGCAUACUAUUUUAGGUUGAUUCGUAUCACCUGGCUUACACAUUUUAUGGUUGAACAUCUUGACAUGGCAUACCUCUGUUUUCACUGCUCUAAGCAUUAUCCUUAUGUACCUAGUUGUUAUUAUUUUCUGGAAAAUUAUAUGGGUUUACAGUGAGGGGUUAGUAUGUUCAUAAAGACAACUGUGUUUUCAAAAACUUUGUUUUUGCCUACUCACAUUUUUUGUUUUGCACCCUUUCAGGUUCUAGGUAGUUGGUCAUCCUUGGUGGCUCACGAGGACUUUCACGGCGGUUCUGACAUCUCUGUAAAUAAGUAGGGAUUUUUUUCCCUGUUUGUAUAAUUAGUACUUAGUUGGUUCGAUUGCACUUUCGUUUACCCAUGCUCUGAUAUUUGUAUAACUUGCUUGGUCAUCUUUACUCACUUAUAUUAUCUUAGUUUAGAUAAGUUUGGUUUUAGGUUUUUAUUUAUUCGCAUUUCUUUUAUUAUUACUUCUGUUGCGCAUUUUGGCUACGUUACUCUUACGUGACGGGCAUCAUGUUUCGACUUCGGUUGGGGUGUGUCAUAAAAGCCUCUUCAAGUCUUCAUGAUUUGGCUUGCAGAGAUAUGUGGCUCCAUAUGUGGCCUGAAUUGCCCCACAGAAGCGCUCCAGGUUUUUAAUAGCAGUAGUCUCCGCAAGUCGGCAAUACUCAUCAGUUGAGUUUGCAGAGCACUCAUUAGCUAGCAUCCGAAAUGCAGAUGUGAGCUUCUGAUGAGGUGAUAGACUUUGUCGGCCUACGACAUUUAUCUUCCUUGCAAAGUAGUGGUCAUGAUUGACAACUGUGUUCAAGAUGCUUUCAAAAAUCUCUCUCCUCAUUCGAAACCGUCUCCGAAAAUCAUGAGCAGGAAAUCUCGGACGCUCAAUAAAAUAAUAUUUCAUCAUUCGGUCAUGACACUCUUCUCUAUCACGUUGCACAAAUGAACGCUUCGUGACAUAACCACAAUAGCUAGAUUCGACAUGGUGCUCAUAUUGCAUAAGCGAGUUUGGAAGUUUAGCUUAUGCGUUGAUCAUUUUUGAAUCCUCAAUGUCAAGGCUUGCUUGGUAUUAUGUCAUUUGCAUUGCCCUGCUACACCUUCUUCUAUCAUCCAUUGUUGAUAUAUUGAGGAUUUUUAUGAAACAAAAACACUUUGAAAGUUGAAAGAUUAGUGAAUAUAGGGAAUGAUUGAAGGUUGAAAGAUUGUGUGACCAACUGAUAUUGAACAUGUGUUUAUAUAGAGGAUGAUUGAUGAAAGUUGAAAGUUUGGUGAAAGUUGAACGGUUGGUGAAAGUUGAAGAUUUGUGAAAGUUAAAGACUUGCUUUGUGGAAAGAUUUAGUGAUUUUUUCAAUAUUUAUUGGAAUUUAAAUAUUUUUAUAUUAAAAUGUUCAUAAAAUUAAUUUACCAUAGGCUACAUAAUUUUUUUUAAAAGUUAAUUUAAGAAAAAAAAUUAGCCUAAGUUCAUUCUUUAAUAAUCCCGAACUAAAAUUUUAGGCUAGGGUUGGAGCAGAAAAACUGUUUCUGUGUUAAAAGCUAAAUUUUUUAGAUUAAAAAUUUUAAAUUUUAACCCAAAGGUUGGAGAUGAUUUAAGAAUGGAUAAACUUAACCAAGAAAAGAAGAAAAAAGAUGAAGGGCAAAUAAGUGAGAAGCAACAUGACACGACACACGGACGACCAUAGCAAUAAAGCGUGCGUCCUCACGUCCAUUGAAUAUAUAGAUGGGAGCUACAACAUCGUGUUUCACGUGCAUGUGUAUUAUACAUAAAGGCAUAUACAGUGUUAGCUUAUAUAUUAUAAAGUUUGUAGGCCACUUACCCAAUUUGGCAUAUGUUUUAUCUUUUUACGUGAAUAACCAAUGUGUUAUGAUGAUACAAGUCUCUUAACAUAUCCGGAGUUAGAAAUAUCAUAAGACAGUGUUGCGAUCAUAUUGAAAUUAAUUGACAGUUUGUAUUAUAUAUUUGAUUAUUCUUUAUUAACUUAAGGAGACAGCAUACUUAGACCUAAUUUAGUCACAUUCUCCAACCGAAAAUAAAGCGGUGUAGUAUUCAUACACUUUUUUUUAUUUCUUACACAGUCUUAAUUAAUUUCUAUUGUUUGAUCUUCUUCAAUUCAUUCGAUCUGACGACCGAAAAUUAAGAUGGUGUGUGGACGAGUAAAUUAUAACAAUGGUCCCUCAACUUUAAUCAAAUUGGAGCAAGGGUGCUCAACUAAAAAUCCAUUACCAUUGGUUCCUCAACUCAUCAAAAUGUGUAGCUAUGGUCAUUUUCGUCAACUUCGUUACAAUUUUGUCAAAAUAAGUUAUAUUGGAAUGACUAUUGCUACAAUUGGGGUCCCUCAACUCAUCAAAACGUGUAGCUAUGGUCAUUUUCAUCAAUUUCGUUAGAAUUUUAUCAAAAUGAGUUUUGUUGGAAUGACCAUUGCUACAAUUGAAUUAAAGUUGAGGGACUAUUAUUUCAAUUGAGUUAAAGUUGAAAGAUCAUUUCUUCAGUUGUAUUAAAGUUGAAGGAUCAAUGGUAAUGAAUUUUUAGUUGAGGGGACUAUAGCUGCACGUUUUAAUGAGUUGAGAGAACAAUAAUAAUGAAUUUUUAGUUGAAAAACUAUUACUUCAAUUGAGUUAAAAUUAAGAAACAAUUGCUACAAUUUUUUUAUAUGGAAAGUGGAUGAUGUGAAUAGCACAUCCAAAAAUAAAAGGGAACUUUAACGAAAAGCACCCGGUACUGUUCACUUUAACGAAAAACCACAUUUUUACACUAAAAAGUCAAUCCUGGUACUAUUCACUUUACCCUUUAUUUUGUCCUUAUCAUUAAAACUCAAAGUUUUCAAGCCCUUUUCAUUAGUUUUCCUAAAAUAAAAUGCACCACAAUUUGGUAGGAUCUUCCUGUUGAGAGUAAUAAAUUAAUAAUUGCCGAAAUAUUGGAUAAUUUGUCGGCCACAACGCUAUGAGGGAGUAUCUGGGGAUGAAUAUACUCUUGCCGACAGAUGCCCAAAUUCCAACUGCCAUUCAAAUGAGCCCUCCACCACCACCGGCCAUAAUAAAUUCUCUUUCUUUAGUGAAGAAGAAAAAGAGGUACUUGGCCCUCACCUCAACUUUUUGAGAAAGAACAAGUUUAUCGCUAUCAGAAUGUUUCGGUCAAUUAUAUAAGUUAUGUGUAAAUUUUUCUUUAGAUAACAUUACAUUAUUAUAUUUAAAAUGUUCCGUAACGAUAAAUUUGUUUCAUACAAAUUAUUCUCCAACUUCUUGGAUUUUUCUCCUUUUUCCCGAAAACCAGCUUAUAUUAGUGUUCAUCCUCUGUCAAUAUCACUCGCCCACAACUAUUCAACUAACUUUUAAUAAUUUGACAACGUGUCAUAUUUUUGUGCAAAGCGGGCCCAUUUUUGUGGGUGAUAUAAUAAUGGCGUAUGUGGUUUGUCAAGACAUAUACUCAUUUAUCCAUUAGCAGUUAGGUAAGUCACCUCACUCACCCACAGCCUAACACAUCAACAAAUAUUGCUUACAAAUUCUAGAAAAUUCGACCAAGAAAAAAAACCAAAUGCUCGCAAAUUAAAAUUGUGUAACAUGAUUAGUUUUUUAUCCAUUAGUAUUAAUUUUACGUUGGAAGAAAUUCCAAAUUUAUUCUUGUAAAGAGGGAUAUGAAAAUACUUUGUAUGUCUAUCACCAAAAUCUUCGAAUGUUUGAAUGGUUGAUUUUCAAGUCUCACACAAUUGGAUUUAGUUCAAGUGAGAAAGAAAUACACUCAAACUAUUAGAUAUGAGGAAUGAAAAUACACUACAAAAUCUUGUGAACAUUUCUAAUAUUCUCUUCUAUCUACUUUUUGUGAACCAAGUUUUUAUUUGUUUUUUUUUUUAACAAAAGAUAUUUUUUAUACUAGGGAAAUAAGGUGGGUUUAGCCUCAUAAUGGGCUAACAUAAUCUAGUUCAAACUUGCAUUUGGUGAGAAUCGAACCUAAAAUCUCUCACUUACAAGUGAAGAGGAAUACCAUUAGAAGUGUCAUGAAAUUAGCAGUCUUAUAUGUAAAAAAUUGAUUGACUAAAUGCUGUGUUAAAAAACAAGAUUAAUACUUGCAUCUCCCCACUUGGAAAAUGCAAAUAUUUCAUUUCUUGCAAAUAACGUAUAUCAUGCGUUCUGUUCAAUCGCAUAUUCAAAAAUGUUAAAAACAAGAUUAAUAUUUCUAUCUCCCCACUUGGAAAAUGCAGUAUUUCAUUUUUUACGAAUAACGUAUAUCCUGUGUUCCGUCCAAUCGCGUAUUAAAAAAAUGUGUGAAGUUUGGAUUAACUACACUCUUUGAGAAUUUCCUUAAAUAACCACUUUUUGAAAAUUUCUUAUAGGACUAAGUGAGUCUCCGCUGAGAAUUUCCUUAACUAACACAACACUACUUGAGUGAUAAUUUGUUAUAUCUUGAAUAGAGAAUAAAUCAGUUCCCUACUUUUGAAGGUACUAUUAACUUACACUAUAUUUGAAUGAGAACAAUAAACUUAGAAUUUAGAUGAAGGAAAUAAAACAGUUUCCUACUUUUGAAGGUACUACUCGAGUGAUAAUUUGUUAUAUCUUGAUAACGUGUCAUAUUUUUUUGCUAAGCGGACCCAUUUUUGUGGGGUGGUAUAAUAAUGGCGUUUGUUGUUUGUCAAGGGCAUAUACCCAUUUAUCCAUUAGCAGUUAGGUCACCUCACUCACCCACAACCUAGUACAUCAACAAAUAUUGCUUACAAAUUCUAGAAAAUUCAACCAAGAGAAAGAAAACCAAAUGCUCGCAAAUUAAUCUGUGUAACAUUAGUUUUUAUCCAUUAGUAUUUAUUUUACAUUGGAAGAAAUUCCAAAUUUAAUCUCGUAAAGAGGGAUAUGAAAAUACUUUGUAUAUCUAUUAUCAAAAUCUUUGAAUGUUUGAAUGAUUGAUCAUCAAGUCUCACACGAUUGAAUUUAGUUCAAGUGAGGAAGAAAUACACACAAACUAUUAUAUAUGAGGAUUGAAAAAUACACUACAAAAUCUUGUGAUAACAUUUCUAAUAUUCCUUUCUAUCUACAUUUUGUGAUAAGUUUUUUUUUUCCUUUUUUGAACAAACUAUAUUUAUCUACAUUAAGGGAGAGGAGGUGAUCUUAGCCUCACAAUGGGCUAGCAUAAUGUGGUUCAAAUUCGCCUUUGGCGAUAAUCGAACCUAAAACUUAUCAUUUACAAGUAAAUAGGAAUACCACUAGAUGGAUCAUGAAAUUAGCAGUCUUAUAGGUAAAAAAAAAUUGAUCGACUAAAUGAUGUGUUAAAAAACAAGAUUAAUACUUGCAUCUCUCCACUUGAAAAAUGUAGAUAUUUCUGUGAACACGGAAAAUUCCUGAAACGAAAGAGACAAGAACAACGUGCACAAAAUAAUAUUUUGGUGUUAAUGGAUUUGUUGGGUUACGAUCUCUUUUAACUUGAUCCUCUGAUUCGAUCUCCGUAAGGUGUUGAUUUAUGGAUGUUUCGUUGAUCCAAGGGCUGUUGAGGCUUGAUCUUAGAUGAACUGUUGGAAGUUUCUUCAAGGGGCCGUGGGCUUGAUCUUUGAAGGUGGAUUUGAGCGGAUCUUCAAGGAGCCGUUGGGGCUUGAUCUUGAGGAUGAGUGUUUCUUCAAGGGCCGUUAAGGCUUGAUCUUGAAUAACGGUGAUGAACGGAUCUUCAAGGGCUUUUGGGCUUGAUCUUGAAGAACGGUUGGAUGUGUGGAUUUGUUGAUGUUGUUGAUCCAAGGGCCGUCGGAGCUUGAUCUUGGAAGAACGAUGAACGAAGAACGAAGAACACUUUCUUCAAAGGCCGUCGGGGCUUGAUCUUGAAUUGGUGAUUGUUGAUCCAAGGGCCGUCGGGGCUUGAUCUUGGAAGAACGAUGAACGAAGAACGAAGAACACUUUCUUCAAGGGCUGUCGGGGCUUGAUCUUGAAUUGGUGAUUGUUAAUCCAAGGGCCGUCGGGGCUUGAUCUUGAUUCUUCGGGAUGAACGGAUGAUGAACAAUGAACACUUUCUUCAAGGGCCGUCGGGGCUUGAUCUUGAAUUGGUGGAAGUUCUUCAAGGGCCUUUGGGGCUUGAUCUUGAAGGUGGAUGAUUGUUGAUCCAAGGGCCGUCGGGGCUUGAUCUUGGGAUGAACAGUUGUGUGGAUUUGUUGAACACUUUCUUCAAGGGCCGUCGAUGCUUGAUCUUGAAUUGGUGGAAGUUCUUCAAGGGCCGUUGGGGCUUGAUCUUGAAGGAGGAUUUGACGAAGAACGAAGAGGGCUUUCUUGAUCCUUCGGGAUUUGCUUGAAUUUGGGAGGUUGGAUGCUUGAAAGCUUUAGAGUUUCAAAGCUUCAAGGAUUUUGGAUGUGUGGGGAGUAUUCUCUUCCAUUUUGGGAGUAGAGAAAUGUAUUUGUGAAUUGGUUUUUGAUACCUUGAUGUAGAAGCCUAUUUAUAGGCUUUGAGAAUGAAUCACCACCACAAAAUAUUUUUUUUCUUUUCCAAGCACCAUUGCCUAAUUUCCCACUUAAUACAAUUUUAAACUUGAAGUGGUAAUUUUAUGGCCUAAUUUUCCACUUAAUAUCAUUUUAAACUUGAUAUGUGCAUGCUUUGUCAUUGCCCAAAAUGAGAAGAAAACCUUGUUUUGAUCUUCAAUGAAUUGAAAUGUGCUUGCCUUGUCAUUGCCCAAAAUGAGAAGAAAAACUUGUGUAAUCCUUCAAGGGUAUUUCUUUUUAUUUUGUUGAGUCGCACACCAUGUGUACAAUUUGUAUGACACGUGGCAUAUGCCAUGUACGCCUUGACACGUCAAAAUUUUAAUGCGUUGGUGAACAUUUAUUUCACCGCAAUUUCGGUGUCUACAAAUGCCCCCACUUCAAGGUGCGUCGUAUACAUGUGCUUGUCACGUGUAGGAGAUGCGUUUUGAAGUCCCUUACUGUAGAUGUCAAUCCAAUGGCCAUCGAGGCUUGAUCUUGAAUUGGGCUGGAGAUUUCUUCAAGGGCCGUUGAGGCUUGUUCUUGGACUUUGUUUGAAAUUUCUUCAAGGGCCAUCGAGGCUUGAUCUUGAAGGUUGAAAUUGGACCACAAGGAGCUUCAUGUGGUAGAUGAUCUUUGGCUUUGGUAGUGGAUGAAUCGGCACGUAUUUGUUUUUGCGCUUUGUUGACUUUCCACAGCUUUGAUCUUGAACUGGGUUGGAGGAUUUUUUGGAUUCCUCCAAUUGUUGAUUUUCCACAGUUUAUUCUUGAACUGGAUUUGAUUCAAAUAUGGUGGACGCUUGAUCUUGAAUCGGACUUGUGAUUUCCUCAAGGGCCGUCGAGGCUUGAUCUUGAAUUUGGCCGGAAACUUCUUCAAGGGCCGUUGAGGCUUGAUUCUUGAAGGUUGACUCGAACACAUGGCAAGCAGGCACGAGGUGAAGGUGACGACUUGUUGCUUUGUUCAAUCUUUCUAAUUCACACCUGAGCAGUUUGGUCAACGGUAUGAUCUUCAAGAUUGAUGGGCUCUUCUUCCAGUUGGUGAUUUGAUCUUUAAGGAUUUGAUUCAAGGGUGGUGAAACGGCACAUGCAGCCCACAACGCCUAGCAAGUCGACCCAAGAAUUUGAGGGUUAAAACGAGUCCUCCACCCAGAGUGAUUGCAAACCUGAUGAUAUGAGAUACUUUUGAUUUUGAAGAAGUAGCGGAUGAAUCGGCACGUGCUUUGUUGUGCUUGUCUCCACAUGCUUCAAUGUAUCAUUUUCCCUUGUCUUAUCUAUUCUUCUAGCAGAAUGUAGCAUCUUCUUAAGUUCUUCAACUCAGACUCCUUCUGCUGAGCUGACUGUGCAGGCUGCAUUAUUCUCUGCUUGUUUCUUUAGGCAGAUGUGGCAGCUUCUUGAGUUCCUCAGCUCGGACUCCUUCUGCUGAGCUGAUUGUGAAGACUGCAUUCUUAUCUGCUUGUUUCUUCUGUACGUUGUCUCCACAUGCUGCAAGGUAUCAUUUUCAAUUGCCUUAUUUGUUUUCCAGGCAAAUGUGGCAUCCGAGUUUGAGUGGAGGUUCUGGCAUAUUGUUUUCUUUAUCCUUGUCUUUGUAGGUAAGAACAAGGACAAAGGAAAGGACAGGGAGAACGCAUGAUAUGAUAUACUCUUGCUUUCUACCCUGGUGAUAUGAGAUACUUUUGCUUUGGUGUCAUUUGUUUGCAGAGGUACCCCAAGGAAUAAGAAACACUGAGUGACUCGAGAGGCUUUGUUGGGAAGGCAUUCUAGGAGAUGAAGAAAGGUUCUUGGAGAUGAAGAAAGGUUCUCGGAGAUGAAGAAAGGUUAUGUAUGUCUGCCUUGCUAUGGAGGGUAAAGGUGGACAGUUAUAGGAAAUUCUUUAGUACCUGUAGAGGUACUAUUCUUUUACUCGUGUCGGCAACCAAUGUGUGAUUGAUCAGUAUGGCUUCACGUGUUUUCUUCUUUAUCAGAAAUCUUCGACAAAUUGUCCGUAAUUUUCGUCAAGCUGAGUGUGCAUGUGACAGGUGUUGACGAGGCUGAAAAAGACUGGUGCCUCUUCGAUAUCUGGGAUCGGCGCUUCGACAAAUUGCCCGUGAUUUCCGCAAAGCUGAGUUUGCGCGUGACGGGUGCUGACGAGGCUGAAAAAGACUGGCGCCUCUUCGAUAUCUGGGAUUGGCGCUUUAACAAAUUGCCCAUGAUUUCUGCAAAGCUGAGUUUGCACGUGACGGGUGCUAACGCGUCUGGAAAAGCAAGAUGCUUCUCCGAUUUCUGAGCUUGCCUCUUUGAUUUUUGAAUUGGCCUCUUCGAAUUCUGAGCUCGCCUCUUCGAUCUUUGAAAUCCCAUCGAGUGUUGAUCUUUAUAGAGGCACGCAGUUCGUUUCAAAGCACACUUGAAUUUUCGCUUGUAGAAACUCCCUUCUUGCACUUCUAAGAUCUUGAUUUGUCCGACCUCUUCUUUCUUCAACACCUUUGAAAAUGUCUGGACCCUCCGACCGUCAUUUUGAUUUGAACCUUGGUGAAGAGGUAGUCCCGUCUUCUCCAGAUAACAUAUGACGCCCAUCUUUCAUAUCCCCUACUGGUCCUCUUACCGUUGGGGAUUCGGUGGUGAAGAAUGAUAUGACCGCUGCGGUGGUGGCCCGAAACCUUGUCACUCCCAGAGAUAACAGACUACUUUCCAAACGGUCUGAUGAGUUGGCUGUUAAGGAUUCUCUGGCUCUCAGUGUGCAGUGUGCAGGUUCUGUGUCUAAUAUGGCCCAACGCCUAUUUGCUCGAACCCGUCAAGUUGAAUCAUUGGCGGCUGAAGUGAUGAGUCUCAAACAGGAGAUAUUAGAGGGCUCAAGCAGAGAGAUAAACAGUUGCAUAAGCUCGCACAUAGCUAUGCGACAAACAUGAAGAGGAAGAUUAACCAGAUGCAGGAAUCUGAUGGUCAGAUUUUACUUGAUCAUCAGAGGUUUGUGGGUUUGUUCCAGCAGCAUUUGCCUUCGUCUUCUGGGGCUGUACCGCGUAAUGAAGCUCCAAAUGAUCAACCCUUGGCUCCUCUUCUUCCUGGAGUUCCGCCGAGUGGUGUGGCUUCAAACAGUCAACCUCCGACGCCUCUCAUUUCUGGAGCUCUGCUGAGUGGUGAGGUGGCACCUAAUCGUCCUUGAAGAUCCCCUCUUGUAAAUUUGAUUUGAUUUUUUUUUAAGUAUGUAUAAUGCAAAUUUAUGUAAAAUUUCCAGAAAAAAUAAAUAAAAACGGACUUUAUUUCUCUCAAUGCAUUUGUUUUGUUUUGUUUUUGUUUUUUUUGUUUUUUUGUUUUUGUUUUUUUUGUAAAUACAUAAUAACAUAUGUAUUUAUUUAUUUAUUCUUUUGUAAUAAAAUUGACUUUCUUUAAUAAAACUUUUAUAUUUUUCUUAUUUAUUUUGAUAUGACUGAACUCGAAAUUGAAUGUUCGAGCCGCCUACGUACCCUUCCAAAGAAGAGAUCAAGCCAUAACGUAGUUCAAAUGAGUGAUGAAUUUAAUAGUGAUUUUGAUGAUGAUUUUGCCGUACACAGUUUAUGCUCUUGUGGGCCAGGAGCUUUGGUGUUGCCUUUUAUGCUCGUGCAGACCAGGAGCGUUGAUGUCGCCUUUUAUGCUCGUGUGGGUCAGGAGCGUUGAUGUUGCCUUUUAUGCUCGUGCAGACCAGGAGCUUUGUGCCAUGCAGUUUAGACUCGUGCGGGCAAGGAGCUUUGGUUCGUGCAGUUUAGGCUCAUGCGAACAAGGAGCAUUGGUUCGUGCAGUUUAGGCUCGUGCGAACAAGGAGCAUUGGUGUUGCCUUUUAUGCUCGUGCAGACCAGGAGCUUUGUGCUAUGCAGUUUAGACUCGUGCGGGUGAGGAGAAUUUGUGAAUUUUGUCAAGCACUUUUGGAGAGGCGUUCCUUACAAUCUUCAUAGCAAGGAGCCUUGACCGAGUGAUUGAAGAAGUCUUCGGGAAAGAAGUCGCACAUCGUGAUGGCAACAGACGAUCUUUGUGUCGUAAUUUCAUCAUCUUCAACACGUUCACGUUGCUUUGAAGGUUGACAAGAGCUGCUUUGCCCCCUUUCCGAUUGGCGGACUUGUGGAGGAGACGUAUGCUUCUUGUGCCAUUUCUUAGGAGUGACUUGAGUCCAUCCUUCAAGUUUGCUUGUUUUGGAGGAUGCCCCCGGCGGUUGAGGUGAAAAUUUUGUGUUGAAAGAGCCAGAAGUGAUGGUGGUAUAGUUUGACUUCACCACAUCGUCAAGAUCUAGCUCGAUGAUUCCUUUCUGAGCCCACUUUAUGAUGAGAUCUUUCAGCACAAAGCACUUUUCUGUCGGAUGACUGAUGAAGCGGUGGAAUUUACAGUAUCUUGGACUGUUGGUACGAUUCAUCUCUUCCGGCCAUCUGCACUCAGGCAAACUGAUCACCUUCUUGUCCAACAGGUCAUCCAACAUGGCAACCACAUCAGAGUCAGGGAAUGGAUAAGUCUUCUCUUUAAGCUCCUUCAAAGUGCGUCUACGCAUCUCUUGAUCACGAAAAGCUUCGGUUUGAAUCGUUUUGCCUCGUGUGGAGAUUUUGACGGGAGAUGUGUUGACUGUCAUUGCUUCCUUGGUGGAUUUCCACGUAGCCUUCUCCACCUUUGUCUCAAGAAUUUUGUCGUUCUUGUAGUCGGCGAUCGGUUCCUUCUUCCCAUGAUGGGUGAUGCUCAACUCCAUGUCAUGGGCGUGGGUGGCCAAUUCCUCGAAGGUCCGUGGUUUAAUGCCUUGAAGGAUGUAUUGCAAACCUCAUUGCAUGCCUUGGAUGCACAUCUCGAUUGAAGAGGUCUCCGAGAGCCUAUCUUUGCAGUCGAGGCUUAGAGUGCGCCAUCUGUUGAUGUAGUCAAUGACCGGCUCAUCUUUCCAUUGCUUCAUACUUGUGAGCUCCAACAUGCUUACAGUGCGGCGGGUGUUGUAGAAGCGGUUGAGGAAUUCCCGCUCCAAUUGCUCCCAGCUGUUGAUGGACUCAGGCUCUAGGUCCGUGUACCACUCAAAUGCGUUUCUUUUCAGCGAGCGCAUAAACUGCUUGGCGAAGUAGUCCCCCUCCGUCCCCGCGUUGUUGCAAGUUUUGACGAAAUGUGCAACGUGCUGCUUUGGGUUUCCUUUUCCAUCAAACUGCAUGAACUUUGGUGGUUGAUAUCCCAUCGGCAUCUUUAGGGCAUCAAUCUUCUUUGAAUAAGGCUUUGAGUACAACCCGGAGGUAUUUGAGCUCCCUUCGUACUAUGCCUUGACGGUGCUGGCAAUCAUCUCUUGCAACUGUUGGAUAGAAAGAGAUCCCAUGAGUGCCGCUUCUUGGUCUGGCUCCGGCUUCACAUCGAUUUUCUCCACCGUAGGCUCAUCUUCUGGGUUAGGGUUCUCGCUGUCCUGUGGCUCCAGUUGACUGAUGAGUGCAGCGAUUUGCAAGUCUUUUUCUUCCACAGUUCGGGUUAGCCUUGCGAUUGCUUCAUUCAUUUGAGCCAGUUGUUCUUCGAUGGAGGUAACGCCGAUGGUCAUGACUUGUGCAACCAAUAGACGUGACUUUCCUUUAGACAUCCAAGAUGCUGAAGAAGAACGUCAUUGGUUGUUUUGGGAUGUCAUCUUGUGUGCCUCAGCAACAUGCUUUGGUGCCCCCAGCGAGGUCAGGUUGAUGACAGACUCACACCUUUGAUGCUCCCUUUGCUCUUUUAGCGGCACCAACUUUGAAGUGGCAUGUUAAGGAGCGGUUGUGGUGCUAAUGGAUUGUCCAUUUGCGGCAGAAGUGCUUAGGAUCCUUCCCUCAGUGAUUGCGAGAACGGCUUGUCCCUUGCUUGAUGCCAUUGAUUUUGAGGUGUGUUUGGAUUCCUUAAACGGAGAAAGAUAUGAGAGGUAGAGAUUGUCCCACCGGGCGUGCCAAUUUGUGAACACGAAAAUUUCCUGAAACGAAAGAGACAAGAACAACGUGCACAAAAUAAUAUUUUGGUGUUAAUGGAUUUGUUGGGUUACGAUCUCUUUUAACUUGAUCCUCUGAUUCGAUCUCCGUAAGGUGUUGAUUUAUGGAUGUUUCGUUGAUCUAAGGGCCGUCGAGGCUUGAUCUUGGAUGAACUGUUGGAAGUUUCUUCAAGGGGCCGUGGGCUUGAUCUUUGAAGGUGGAUUUGAGCGGAUCUUCAAGGAGCCGUUGGGGCUUGAUCUUGAGGAUGAGUGUUUCUUCAAGGGCCGUUAAGGCUUGAUCUUGAAUAACGGUGAUGAACGGAUCUUCAAGGGCUUUUGGGCUUGAUCUUGAAGAACGGUUGGAUGUGUGGAUUUGUUGAUGUUGUUGAUCCAAGGGCCGUCGGGGCUUGAUCUUGGAAGAACGAUGAACGAAGAACGAAGAACACUUUCUUCAAAGGCCGUCGGGGCUUGAUCUUGAAUUGGUGAUUGUUGAUCCAAGGGCCGUCGGGGCUUGAUCUUGGAAGAACGGUGAACGAAGAAUGAAGAACGAAGAACACUUUCUUCAAGGGCCGUCGGGGCUUGAUCUUGAAUUGGUGAUUGUUAAUCAAAGGGCCGUCGGGGCUUGAUCUUGGAAGAACGAUGAACGAAGAACGAAGAAGGCUUUCUUGAUUCUUCGGGAUGAACGGAUGAUGAACAAUGAACACUUUCUUCAAGGGCCAUCGGGGCUUGAUCUUGAAUUGGUGGAAGUUCUUCAGGGCCUUUGGGGCUUGAUCUUGAAGGUGGAUGAUUGUUGAUCCAAGGGCCGUCGGGGCUUGAUCUUGGGAUGAACAGUUGUGUGGAUUUGUUGAACACUUUCUUCAAGGGCCGUCGAUGCUUGAUCUUGAAUUGGUGGAAGUUCGUCAAGGGCCGUUGGGGCUUGAUCUUGAAGAAGGAUUUGACGAAGAACGAAGAGAGCUUUCUUGAUCCUUCGGAAUUUGCUUGAAUUUGGGAGGUUGGAUGCUUGAAAGCUUUAGAGUUUCAAAGCUUCAAGGAUUUUGGAUGUGUGGGGAGUAUUCUCUUACAUUUUGGGAGUAGAGAAAUGUAUUUGUGAAUUGGUUUUUGAUACCUUGAUGUAGAAGCCUAUUUAUAGGCUUUGAGAAUGAAUCACCACCACAAAAUAUUUUUUUCUUUUCCAAGCACCAUUGCCUAAUUUCCCACUUAAUACAAUUUUAAACUUGAAGUGGUAAUUUUAUGGCCUAAUUUUCCACUUAAUAUCAUUUUAAACUUGAUAUGUGCAUGCUUUGUCAUUGCCCAAAAUGAGAAGAAAACCUUGUUUUGAUCUUCAAUGGAUUGAAAUGUGCUUUGCCUUGUCAUUGCCCAAAAUGAGAAGAAAAACUUGUGUAAUCCUCCAAGGGUAUUUCUUUUUAUUUUGUUGAGUCACACACCAUGUGUACAAUUUGUAUGACACGUGGCAUAUGCCAUAUAUGCCUUGACACGUCAAAAUUUUAAUGCGUUGGUGAACAUUUAUUUCACCGCAAUUUCGAUGUCUACAAUUUCAUUUCUUGUGAAUAAUGUUUAUCCUGUGUUCUGUCCAAUCGCGUAUUAAAAAAUGUGUGAAGUUUGGAUUAACCACACUCUUUUAGAAUUUCCUUUAUUUACCACUUUUUGAGAAUUUCCAAUAAGACUGGGUGAGUCUCCGCUGAGAAUUUCCUCAACUAACACCACACUACUUGAGGGAUAAUUUGUUAUAUCUUUGAAUAAAGAAUAAAACAGUUUCCUACUUUUGAAGGUACUAUUAACUUACACUAUAUUUGGAUGAAGGUCAAACUUUAUAAAUUGACAUACACCAAAUUCUUUGUUUGGAUUCAUAAACAUAUAAAUUUAGAAUUUCCGCGUGGAAAAAAAAAAUACUUAGAAUUUGAGACCUCCAAUUCUCAAAUUGAAAGUUUAAAAAUAAUAAAUUCCGUAUUCAAUUCAAUUGUUCUUUUAGGUUAACCAAAUAAGAAAAUUCACAAAUUCUAAAAUAUAAAAUCUCAUCAUUUCAAUUUCCGUCAUUUUAAAAUUCCUUAGUAAUAUUAAAUUUCUUCAUCCAAACAUAGUGUUAAGAAAUUUUUUAAAGAUACACUAUUUACACUCAUUUUUAUUUCUUACACAUUUAUUAACUUUGUCCAUUGAUUUCUUCAAUUCAUUUUGCCAGUUAUACAAAAAUUGAGAACAGUAUUUAUGAAUUAAAAAUACAUUUGUAGAUGUCACUACCAAAUUUUUAUUCCUAAUUCAAGAAAAUCUUAUCCAUAUAUGAUUGCCCUUGCCCACUUUAAAUGGGUGCCAUCACUUUACGAUAGAGCAAUCCUAACCGUCCACCUAGGUAAGCAUAACUGGCGAUGCAUGUCGCAAGGGGACCGCAUUGCACAAUAUAAUUAUACUAGUUGAUAAGACAAGUGAUGUCAAUCAAUAAAUUAUUUCAUUAAAACUUAGUUGUAUGUAUCAUAUGUUGUAAUGUAGGGUGUAUGAUAUGCUGACGCUGUAAAAAAAUGUAACCUUUUUAAUAUUACUCAUAAUAGUAAGACUUACCAGUAUUAGGAUGUUAUCAGUGGAAUGAGAAUCCUCUCCAGAUCUUUUUUGUGAGCUAUUAUUUGUAUUUAAUUUUAAAUAUAAAAAAUUAAAAUAAUUUAUGACGGCAGUGAUUCACAUGAUCUUCACAAAGAGAAUCCAAAUAAUCUUAAUUUAUAUCAGUGUGUCUAGAUAACAUGAUCGAGCCCCUUUACUUUUACCCUAUUUAGUAUUUUACAUUUGAACCUGUAAAUAUUCGAUUUUUCUUUGGUGCAACCGAGCACCAAAUAUAGAUUUUUUUUCACUUUUAUAUAAUGAUAAAUAAAGGGCAAUUGGCAGAUUUGAAUUCCAUUCGGAUUGGUCAAAAAUCAUUUUAAAUUGUUUUAUUUAAAAUUAAACACAUAUAGUACUUAAUAAAAAUUAGUCGUACAAUAUACGAUAAACAGAUAUAAUGUAAGGACCUUUAUGAUCUUCACAAAAAAGAUCCAAAGGUUGUGUAGCUGUUUCAAAAGGAUAAUACUCACUUUUGAUUAGUUCAAUGAAAUUUUAAACAUGUUUUAUUGUUUUAAAAAAUAAUAAACAUAUUUAUUAAUGUUUGUUUUACUUUAAAAAAUAAGCAGCACUUGACAACAUUUGAUUGUGCUAAAUAAAAAAUGAGUGACCACUUAGUACUACAGUCUUAUGAUAUUUUUCUUCAUUUGAAAGUGAGAGGUUUUAAGUUCGAAUCUCGUGGAUGACGAAUUUGAUAUCAAAUUAGAUUGCUCACUAUGUGGCUUAGCCGAACUCUCAUUUCCUUUAAUGUAAAAAUAUUGAUGUAUUCAAAAAAAUAAAAAGUGACUAUAGAGGACACUCAAUCUCAGCUGUAUGAUUAAAUCAGACGGUAAGAAAAAUUCUGCAAGCAUACUCGGUUACAUUAAUUGAAGAAAAAAUGGGUAAAUAUUGGGCACCAACGUUAUAAAUACCCUCCACCAUGCACCCAACUCCCUCACACCAUCACAACCCACGUUACAAAUCCUCCUCCUCAUCAUAACCAUUCUGUUUUCCGCAUAAUAUCCAAAAACCUAUCAUGUCUGAAGAGAAACACCACCGCGGUCUCUUCCACCACCACAAGGAUGAAGACAAACCCUCAGACUACCCUCAGUCUGGCUACUCUGAUGAAGGACGUCCCGGCGGCCUCGGUGGUGGUUACGGCGACACCAAUGAUUAUUCUGGUGAAGGACGUACCGGCGGCCUAGGUGGUGGCUAUGGCGACACCAAUGCUUAUUCUGGUGAAGGACGUCCCGGCGGCUAUGGCGGCUAUAACGAGACCACUGCUUACUCUGAGGAAAGAGUUGAAAGACCCGGCGGUGGCCGGUACAGUGAGACUACUGCGGCAUAUGGCAGCACCACCACUCAUGAAUCUGAACUUGAUUACAAGAAGGAGGAGAAGCACCACAAGCAU
This 49916-nucleotide long non-coding RNA is filed under the name Malus domestica (apple). RNAcentral describes it as "long non-coding RNA (MDOM_LNC004302)". Lineage: Eukaryota; Viridiplantae; Streptophyta; Magnoliopsida; Rosales; Rosaceae. The record is from RNAcentral.